CACGGACAGCCUCACGGCUUGCCGCCUCAAUGACAUUGACAGCUGGAAGAGCAUCUACGUCAAACAACUCUUUAAGGGGUUCUUGCUGGUGUAUAUCAUUCUAAAGUUUGGAUAUUACAUCGAGAAGGAUGUGGAUGCGGACCACCUGUGGUACCCGCUCUCAGCCAUCGUAUUUCUUAUUGUCAUCAAGUCAUAUGUGAUGAUAGCUUCCAUGAGGAUGGUGAGCAAGUCCUACCUCGGCAAGAACGUGAAGGUGGUCGCCGAUUACAUGCAGUAUAUAGACAACAAGCUGGUGACCUUUGAUCCUGUGACCAUGGAAGGAUACCGGUACAUGGUCGCUGGUGAGAAACACUGUGUCAACCGGCCUGGACACACACCAUGGUACAAGAAGCCGGACGACUUGAAGGUUACCACCGUGGAGCAGAUCUGGCAGUGCGAGGGGAAUCUGCUCAUUGGUGAUCAGGGCAAGGUGCUAAAGGACUUGUGCCUCUCUAUGGCUCUCUCCAAGAUGCUCAACCGAAGGUUUGCUGGCUUCAAGCUCUCAGAGGCAGAGCUUGAGAAAACCCAUGACUUCGUAUUCAAAGGCCUGCUCGCCGGGGACGAGCAGCGGGCCUUCAGGGUCAUUGAGGAAGAACUUGUUUUUCACCAUGACAUGUAUUACACAAGGUACUCUUACCUCUACCAAAAGGGUCGAUACCUGGCUCUCUGUCUGCCUGUCAUCAUGUCUACCCUAUGCUCGUGGCUCACAGUGACCAGCCUGCUCGACAGGCGCAAAAACCCCUAUCAAAAAUCCUCCUUAUUCGCAAAAGGCGAACUGGGUUACCCCACCAUAGUCACAACUCUUGUCGUGGCACUCCUGGAGGCAUACCAGCUGUACCUGUACAUGGCCUCAGGUUGGUUCAAGGUGGCUCUGAUACAGAGCUACGUCAGCGCACCAUUUUUGCACACAAGCUGUUCUGAGAUGAUCAUACGUUUUCUCUUGAUGUUGAAGGCGUUUCGCCCAUGGAAGGGCAGACUUGGGCAGUACUGUUUCCUCGAGAAUCUUGGCCACAAAAGUAAGGUUAUGAAUUGUCUCCAUUAUGCUACACUACGCCUGGUGGACAAGGCCAUGAAGGGGCGCAAGAAAUCAGUGAAGCUGUCUGGAAAUGUAAAGAAAGCCAUCAUUGAUUACCUACUAGGAAGCAACGGGCACCUGACGAAUGGGGUAACAUCGCUCCAAAGAAAUGGCGUCCAUGAUGACCUCGCAUGGGCAUGUGAUGCUUCUGCUACCGAUGGAGCGGUGACUCGCACCAUUCUGGUCUGGCACAUUGCUACAACAUUGUGUGAGCACCAGCUGGAUCAACAAGGCAAAGAAGCAGAGGCGGUUAGAACAGCCUCCACUUUAUCGAAGUAUUGCAUGCAUCUGCUGGCUUUCGCACCUAACUUCUUGCCCGAUCACAGCACUAUAUCGGAAUCCAUACUUGAUGAGUUAAUUGUACAGGGCAAGCUACUCGACGGGUCCAAUGAUUUUGAUAGCAGGUGUAAGCAACUAUUGAAGAUUAACACCCAUGAUGGUGAUGGUGGUGAAGCACCCCUUCUUGCACAGGGCGCUCAGCUUGCAAGGCAGAUUGAAGGCAUACAAGACUCGAAAUUGCGGUGGAAGGUCCUCUCUGAUUUCUGGGCGGAGAUGAUGCUGUAUGUCUCGCCGUCUGACGAUGCCCGGGCACACCUGGAAGUUCUUCCAAGAGGAGGGGAGUUCAUCACACACCUUUGGGCGCUGCUCACGCAUGCCGGUGUGCUGAAGCGAGGCCCUACAGAGCCAAAGGAUGUUGUGUGACCUCUCCAACAAGUGCACACGUAGCAGUCCUUAUAUCUAUCUAGUGCUUGUAACAUUCUAUUUAUAUUGCCUACUGUCAUGUUGGGACACACCAACUUGUGCCACACCAUGUGUGAGUUAGUCUGUCGAGUCUGUAUCUCUUUGCAUGUCGUGUCUGUUGUCGGAUUUUGGUCAGGGUCGGAGUCUGUAAUUUCUGCAAGAUUCGUAAGAAGAGUGCACGUUCAGGUUGUUGGACGUGUGCGUCUUAGGUGGCCAUUACUACAGUCAUGAUCCAGUGACCACUUGGCUCAGGAUCGCUAGUUAUGUUGCAUAAAUAAAGGGGAAGAAAAUUGAAAACGCUGCAGCUUCAUCGCAGCACAAAUCCACUCUCUCUCAGUUGCAUCUGUUUGUGUGUCAAUCGAGCAGCAGGUCCUGUUGCAGAUGAGAUUGACCCUACUACUACAGGGAGGGGCUCAACCUUGAGAUAGAAAGACGCCAGGGUAGGAAUUAUUGCAUUCAUGUUCGUAACAAGACUGAAUACGGUGUCCUCACUCUUCCCUCUUUUUUUUUUGAGUAACAGGAGGGGACAAGCCUCUACUGAAAUUUAUUGAAUGAAAUACGAGUCAAAAGAAAGGGAAUACAUAGGGAAGAGAUAGUGAUAAAAAAAGGGCCGAAAAAAUAGGGAACCAAGAUUACAGAGCCUCCAGGCAAUCCAUCAUGGCCGUGACCAGGGAGGGUUUGGCCCUAUGUAUACAGACUGUGUUCAUUUCUUCCAUGAAUUUUCGUUUGCAACUUUGAAUCGUGGGUGUAACAUUGUUGAAGGUCCAAUCAUUCCUCACGGACCAGAUGCUCCAAGUCAUUACGAUGAUGAUAUCCAUGAAGAAGGGCAUAUUCAGUUUGGCCUUAUUGAAUUUAAAAUCUGAACAGGCUGUCUGGAUGUGUUCACCAGUACCCCGAUAGAGGCCCAGUAAGCUUCGGCGAAGUUGCAUCUCAAGAAUAAAUGUGGCACCGUCUCCCUUUUCUGUAGAAUGCAGAGCUCACACGUAUAUGCAUCCAAAAGCAUUGUUUUGCUGCCUAAAAUAUCCUUGGUGCUCAAUCUAUCCUUAAUUAGCAACCAGUUGACAUUUAGAUUUCCACAGCCAUCCAUACAAGGGGUGAAUGCUUCUUGUACUGUCACAAUAUUCCCCAAUCUAUGUUGCAGGAUCAACAACUGCUGGUGUGCCUCUUUUGAGAGGGGGAGAUGAAAAUUAUUUUGAGCCAGCGAAGAUGUAUUGAGGGCCUCCUUAUAUGAAAUCAGUUUGUUCUUGGCAAAAGAGAAUAACCGGGGAAAUUCUAGAGAUAGAAUCUGUUCAUUCCAAGUGUCCAUCCAGAACAGUACAAUAGAACCAUUCGAUACCCAAACUUAUGCUAUUCCCUUGAAUUUGUCAAAUAUCUUGACUAUAUCUCUCCACUAGAAUGAGCCCUUUUUACGGUGCCCAGGCAAUUUGCCAUUGGAGUAGUAUUUAUCCCAAACCAGAUGGACCCAUGGUAUAUCAGCUUUGCUAAAAAAGCUGAUAUACUGACUGUGUUCAUUUCUUCCAUGAAUUUUCAUUUGCAGCUUCAAAUCAUGGGUGGAACAUUGUUGAAGGUCCAAUCAUUCCUCAUGAACCAGAUGCUCCAAGUCAUUAGGAUAAUGAUAUCUAGGAAGAAGGGCAUAUUCAGUUUGGCCUUGAUUGAGUUUAAAAUCUGAAGAAGCUGUCUGGAUGUGUUCACCACUACCCCGAUAGAGGCCCAGCAAGCUUUGGUGAAGUUGCAUCUCAAGAAUAAAUGUGGCAUUGUCUCCCUUUUCUGUAGAAUGCAGAGCUCACACGUAUAUGUAUCCAAAUGCAUUAUUUUGCUGCUUAAAAUAUCCUUGGUGCUCAAUCUGUCGUUAAUUAGCAACAAGGAGAAGAUUUUAUGUUUCAUUUGACAUUUAGAUUUCCACAACCAUCUAUACAAGGGGUGAAUGCUUCUUGUACUGUCACAAUAUUCCCCAAUCUAUGUUGCAGGAUCAACAACUGCUGGUGUGCCUCUUCUGAGAGAGGGAGAUGAAAAUUUUGAGCCAGCGAAGAUGUAUUGAGGGCCUCCUUAUAUGAAAUUAGUUUGUUCUUGGCAAAAGAGAAUAACUGAGGAAAUUCCAGAGAUAAAACCUGUUCAUUCCAAGUGUCCAUCCAGAACAAUACAAUAGAGCCCUCCGAUACCCAAACUGAUGCUAUUCCCUUGAAUUUGUCAAAUAUCUUGACUAUAUCUCUCCACUAGAAUGAGCCCUUUUUACAUAAAGGAAACAAAUAAGAAAUAUCAAUAUAGAAUAAAACAACAGAAAAUAAGAAAAGAAAGGAAAAAAAUUAGUACCUGUUGGGAUCCUCAACCGGUACUAAAGGACCCCCCUCUAGUACCGGAUUGCCAGUACCGGUUGCACAACCGGUACUAGAGGGGGGGUUGGGAACCGGUAGUAGAGGUGAUUUUUUCAGUAGUGAAUGUACAAAAUGUGCUAUCACUACUAGAAAUAUGACCUCUUAUCCCUAGCUUUAGUACCGGUUGUUUUUAGACCCAGUACUAAUGUUAACGUUAGUACCAGUUCCAAAAUUGAGAUGUCAUGGACCCCCUCUAGUACCAGAUGGUAGUUCCAACCGAUACUAGAGGCCACCCUUUUUUCGAUGCCAAUUGCCACCUUUUUUCGUAGUGAACCAAAACAAACUUACUGUCUCAGCAGCUAUCUCCUGGUGCACGCCCUUCAUAUGAGGUGGAAACACAAAGAGCAAGAACACACAAGUGUCCCCCGCAGUUUCUUCCCCAAGUGGAAUGGAAAAGAUCACAAUAGCUAUGCAACACUAGUAAGGUCAGCAAAGCAACUGAGUGCUUGUGUGUUAUGAUUCCAUCUACUAUAUAUAUGAUUCCAAGUCUGAAAGGAAUUUUAGCCUGUUCGUUUCGUCCCCAGUUGCCACUUCAGCACAACCUGCAAGACCUUGGGCCUAUGCAUCAUGUGAUAGAAUGAUCACUUCAUAAAACCAAACUGAAAUUCUAUACAUUGACCUCACAGAAGUCUACACCUAAUCCUGAGACUGACUGGACUUAGGGCCCGUUUGGUAGGGAUCCAGAUUCUCGUAGAAACAUUUUGAUUCCAGAUUCUCAUAAGAACGUUUCGGAUGACGAAUCAGAAUCACUAAAUCGUUUGGCUGCAGAACCAGAAUCACUGCGAAACCACGUUUUCAGCGAUUCACAUUCGUAGGCAGAAAAACGAGAAUCACUUGGAACCAAUUCUACGAGAAAUGUUUCACUGGUUACCCGUUUUGCAGUGAUUCUAGUGUUUCUCGCUAUAAUCUGAAACGUUUCUCGCUGCCAAACGGGGCCUUAAUCUUUAAUCAACUACCUCUUUACACCCUUGUUCACUGUGCCAUGGGCCAGUACUUCACUACUAUCAAACUAAACUUCAAUACCACCCCAUCACUACCGGUUCAUUAUUGUAGCAUCAAUACGGGUUCAAAUAUCUCAAGCCAGAAAAUGAUUCGGCCCGAGAUAUUAAACAAUUCAACUACGCAUGGCCGCUGAAGUGAUGGAAUGUUAAGUCGUCGUCAUGCAUGGUACAAUAGUCGAUGAAGACAUCAAACGCCACAAAAAGGUACGGUCAUCAGUCUUCGAUAUAUACUACCUGCUUACAUCAUUGUAACGGGUGAAGAUUCCCAUGUGAUCACGCGAAGUACCUCUUUCCGUUAUGUUUGUGUGUUCAGCUUGUGAACUGAGAAUACUGUAAAAAACUUGGCUGUGUGUGAUCGCAAAGGCCAGAGAAUUAUUCAUUUUCUAAAUUUUUUUUGUUGUUUAAGUUAAAUGGAGUAGUGCUGCCUAGAUUUCAUUCACGUAUGAAGUUAUUGCAUGGAUAUCUACUCGUUCCUAUUGGUUUUCAUGGCCUAUUUCUAAUUGGGUACAUGGACUACCAUAACUGGAUGGUAACAAUAAUCCGUGGUAACAAAUAUAGAAUAAAAUAAGUAAAACAUAGAAAAAUAAAAUGAGGAAAAAAGAAAAGAAAAAGGAAUUUAGUACUGGUUGGUAUGCCUCGGCCAUAGACGACGUGCCAGCCAAUUUAGUAUUGAUUGGUGUCACCAAUGUAGUAAUUAAUGUCCUACUAUUUACAGCAUUUAAAAAUUUGGACUCUUUAAAAUUUCUUUAAACCUAAUAUUAUUUAUUUUCUUGAAGUCAUUCCACUCAUUUUAUACUUUGAAAACUAUGCAUGGAACCUACAUAUGAGAAACAUUUGCUUGUAUUAGAAAUCCUAUUCUAAAUCCAAAACCCCCAAAACAUAAUAUAUUCUUCCCUAAAAAUCCUAGAAAUAAUAUCCCAUAACAUUCCCUCUUCUCAAGACUCUAUGAAUCAAUAUUCAAAUUUAAUUUGAAUAUUAACUCAAACAAACCUCGAUAAAACCUUAGGCAUAAUCUAACAUCUCUAAACAAAAACUCUUUCUAAAAGCUCCAUUUCUAAGUCCUAUUCACAACCCCAAUCCAAACUUAAUUUGAAUUUGAAAUCCAAUUCAAAUUAAAAGCACAAAACCCUACCAAACAAAAGACAAACUCUUAAAACCUAGUAUGGGCCGCCAACCUCGAACCCGGCCUGGCUUAACUCAGCCCAGCCCACGGCCGCGCGCGCCCACGCCCGCCUCCCACGUAGCCUAGCCUUCCCCCAUGCGGCCCAACUCAAUUAGCCCACCGCACCCGCCAGCCCAUCUCGCUCAGCCUAGUACCCCCUCCUCCGCGCUCGCUCGCUCACCCGCGCUACUGCCGGUGGGGAGAAAUUCCCCCGCCACCACCGUCGCCCUCCGCCGCGCUCUGCACGAUUGCACCAGAUGCAAUCCAUCCUCGUGCACCCCCAUAGCCUACCUUCGCCCCCAAGUAAACCAUCCCUCAUCUCCCUUAUCCCCACCGGUGCCUCCCCCCUCGCCAUGUGCCGCCCCCGGAAGCAUCCUUGCCAAUCGUCCAUCCACAUCCUUCCGCCAUGCUCGUCACCAGAUCACGGACACCAUCAAGCUAAUCAAGCUUCCUUUGUGGCUAUAAAAGGACACCAUUCUUCCCUCUCCUCGGCAGCAAAAACAAAAGUUGUCUUCCUUUAUUUUCCUUGACCAUAGCAUGAGCUCAAGCAUAGCUCCAGAGCUUGAGCUCACAGCUCCCAUGUCCGCACCCCCUUCGACCUACCCCUCACCUACCCAAAGACCUAUAUGAGCUCCCCUUCUUCUCCUCUCCCUCCACAUGACCUUCAUAUGGCCCAUGGUGGGCGAAGCAAUCACCCCAACAAGCUACAAAACCAAAUUUCCACCCCUCUCGUGGCUGCCAUGCUUCCAGCCCCCACAUCGCCUCCACGAGGCCUCAGAUGGAUUCCCCUCGAGCUUCUCUUCCUCUUGGUGCGAGCCUCAUGGCCGGCAGCGAGAUCCACCGCGAUUCUGGUGAAAAGCCACCGCGUCCCAUGAUGGAGAACCUGGCAAUGCCUCUUGACUUGGCACGAACUGACGCCCGUCAUUUGCCACUGUCCCGCUGCCGUAUGCUCCCUAUCUCCAUCAACCUGACGUGCGGGCCCAGCCAGGCAAAGCCAUCUGCUACGCCGUCACACCACCCACGCCUCCCCUCCUGCACAGGGUCGACUAGACCACAGGCACUGAGAGUGCUGGCACAGUGCGCCACCCAUCAAAAAUUGCUAAGUACACCUGGUGAAUGUACACACAUCUUUACUUAGAGCCCUUCUCUAUUCCAAAAAUUUCACAAAAUUGUCCAAAAAUACUAGAAAAUACUGUAAACCUAUCCAUGCCUUCCUUUCCCAUAGUUAAUUUCAUGUGAGCCCUUUUCCAAAAUAUUUAGCCCUUACAUAAUAGAAAAGCCCUAUCAUAUGUACACCAAUAUAUGCUUUCUUUUUAUUUCAAUUCCAAAAACUCAAGGAGAAUUCCUAAAAAUAUCUUAGAGCCAUCUAAACCUAUUCCAAGCCUUACUUCCACAUUUGCACCUACUAUGAUCCCAUGGCUAACCUGCUGUCGCUAUCACCUUUCAUGAUGUAGGUGUCCCCUGCCCGGGAAAGCUCUGCAUAACGACAACAGCCUAGUCAAGCCAUUCUUUUAACCGGGUUACAUCUGAGUCGCUAUCAAUCUUCUCUUGCCAUAAGCACAAGCUCGGGAGAUGAGCUUGAGAAGACGCCGAUCUUGCCCGGCUCCACCUAUCGCCAUGUGACUACCCCCUAGCAUCGGAUCAGGUCAAAGUGAGUUCAUCAUGCAAGCUCUUUGGCAUCCAUUCCUAUUCCGCACUAUCUUGCCUAGCUCCACCUGUCGUCGUGCGAUUAUCCCAAGGAAUUCUCUCGAGCUCCACCCACCGAAGGGCUAGAGCUCAGGUCGAAGUAAGUUUCGCCGCGCAAAUUUCAUGAACCCACAUCUAAACUACCAUGCUAAGGAUCCGUCCAAAAUCCUAACGCCGUAUAAAACCUAGCCGUUAUCCUGCCCCACCAAAACCUUAGUUGUUGAUAAAACUUAGCCGUUAUGCUACCCAACCAAAGCCCUAGAAAUUCCUAGAAAAUCCAUAAGUAAUUUCCUCGAAUUAUUUUAUAAACCAUUCACCAAAAUCAAUUAAUUAUUUAUAAGAUUAUCUCUAAGUCAUUAAUAAAUCAUUCAUCCUUUAUCAAGGAAUUAUCCUUUAGAUAUAUGAUAAUUCCCAAAAACACCCAUCAUCCAUUCUCUUUCGAAUCCCUUUGCUGUAAAUUGACUGUAAGAAUUGUUUACAUGCUUGUAUGCCUGUUUGACCCGAGAAUAUUACCAAGAUAUAGACAGAAGCCAACGAUCCUGAAGAAAUAAAGUCAAAGGUCCGACCGCCUAGAAGACCUAAGUCAUGUUAGCCUAACCAGGAUCCAAUGAGAAAUUGUAGAUCCAAAAGGUGAGAAACCAAGGCCCUGGUAAACCUAGGAAGCAUAUAAGGAUCAUCAAUGAAGGCAAGUCCUAGAACCAACCUCCUUGAUCAUAUUCUAGUCCUAUUUUUUCUAAAUAUUAAAAUUAAACCAAGAAUAUAACUUUACUUGCAUGCUUUUAAAAAACCCUAAGGGCAAUCCACCUCUAUUUCUUCUUGCCAUGACUUGAAGCUAUUUCUAACCAGAAAGCCUAACAAUGAUCCGGGUCACUACUAGAUCAAUGAUCGACAAUAUUUAGAAACAAAAUUCUUAGGAACAAUGCAAAUACAAUGAUUUUUAUGGAAAAAAACAAAAGCUGUGUGUUUUCUUGUUAAGUCUAAAAUGAACCAACUAAAGAGUUAGUAACCAUUAUGAAUAGGACAUGGAAGUAAGGUGGCAGCUGUUGGGGACCGCCCCACAACGCACCCUGAACAGCACUGGCAGGGACCCUCUCUCUUAAUCGACUCCAAACUCGUCACCUUCCCCUUUUACGAAGCCAGCGAAUAACCGAAGUCAACUAUCACGAAGGUAUCCACUCUGUUGUUUUGCAGGCAAGGACUUGCGAAGUUAAAUCUCCCACGGAGCUCUCAGCAAUUUGGCUUCGGGGAGAUUCCGUGACCAGAAGCCGAAGUUAGCUGACUUCGACCGAAGAAGGUGGGAAGUUUACGGAAGUUUGCUCGGUCCCGACGAAGCUUGUGAAUGAGGAAGAGGGUAAUCAAGACAGCCCUGGGACCACAUUACAGCAAGACAACUCUGUAAUAAGAAUCUUAGAAGGUUGGAAAUGUAAUUCUACUGUGAAAGUGACAUUUUGAAUAGGAACCAAGUUACUGUCCUGUACGGAAUAUUCUUAGGAUGUAGUGGUUGAGUAUGGGUAUAACGGGGAUGCGGAAAUAUAACUUUAUAACCAUAUAAAGGGAGAUGAACCGUCCCCCCCCAGGAGGGGCAUUAAUCACUGAUAGGAUAGCUAUUGUCAUGUUUGUCUGAACGAUCGUUAUCUUCGUUCGUUGGGACAUUCUUACUAUUGCUUGGGUGUACCCCAACAGCAGCCUCAGUGGAGAUUUCUGUCCCGAUGCUUACUUCGAUCACUUAAGAACCGGUCCACAAGCAAGUCUUUCUAGUGAGACGUACAACCAUAAGUGCCAAAAAGGUACAGCCUUCGGGAGUGCCUAUUCAUGUGAGGCCCUUAUUCACACCCUACUAAAUGAACCUAGAAAUCCAUCCCAAGGGGCCACGGGUAGGGAAUGAAUAUAUUGGAACAAGAACUUCGUAUAGUCCUAGAUCCGGUCAGCACAGGUUGACUGUGAGAGGGUUGGAGACCCUAUUGUUAGUUGCUUUGUGCGCACUUUCCCAGUGUUAUAUCCGCGAGGCAGAUGAUAGUAACCCUUAUUUGGAUCCCAGUAUAUCUGUUUUAAGGACCUAGGGGAUAUUGUCUAGAGAUUGACACUGGUGGGUACGGGUCUCGUAAGUCAGUACCGCCUAAAGCUAAGGUAUGGACUAAUCAAAUGUGUGUGUAAAGUGUACAAACUUUACAGAGUCAAUAAUAUAUCUAGAGAGCUGAGGCUCGUGUCGAUUCGCAAUCUUGUGUUUACAUAACUAGGGUGUUAGCGGGGAAGGGCUGAGGCCCUAAGAGAGUUAUUUUAGAAUGAGGAGUAAGCCGGCCCAGGAGGACCUAACGGUCCCUUGUGCUCUUUAAAACAUGGGAACCGGUAUGGGAGGUAACAUUCCCCCUCCAGGGUCAACAAAUUCAUAAAAGUGCUUUUUUCUUUUUCUUCUCCCAAAACUCACCUCAACUUGCAUAAAAUGAGUUUCUUGACAAAACCAAACCUCAUGUCCAAUUCCGUGACUAUCCUUUCAUUUAUAAUUUCAACGCUAGGAUUUGCUAAGUACCAACCAUAAGUGUACUCAACCUUGCUUUCAUUAUACAAUUUUAGACAUUCUGGCUCUAAAUUUAUUCUGCCUGUGGAGUGGUGAAAAACUAUUUUUCCAUAAUUUUAUGCGUAUUUUAUUGUUUUGAUGCUAAUUUGUGAGGAGGAUUAUAUCAGCUACUGAUCCAGAGGAAGGUCCCCACAACCAACUGGUACUAAAUGAGCACCUUUAGUAUGAGUUAUGUGGCUUCAUACUAAUAGCCCCCUUUAGUACCAGUUCUUCAACCAGGGUUGAGACCGGUACUAAAGGUGGAUUCCCCAGUAGUGUGUGGUGCAUCACACCCCGUAUUCUUGUUAUAAACUGGUAGAGAUACUACCUUUCAUACCCAGUUGUAGAAUUGCGAGUAAGACCCUUAGGUAUUGAUCCCUCGUAUGCACUACCGGUUCACAUUAAUCCUGAACGAGGAGUGUUGUCCAUUUAUAUAGUAGUGUGAUUUAAAAGGAAAAAUAUAGUUUCCAUUAAAUAGUUAGUGAUGUGGCCUAAUCGUUGUUGCUUAUUGCGUUUUGUUUUCAAGAAAACACGAAAGACAUUUGUGCGGGGGAGUACCAUUUCAUGUAUACAUAUAUCUUUCCAUCACUACGGAAAAGAUAAAAAUUGCCGAGUGUUUUUUCUUUGCCGAGUGUUUCGAACACUCGGUAAACAGGCUCUUUGCCGAGUGCCAAGCUAAAAACACUCGGUAAAGAAAAAACACUCGGCAAAUCGAGGCUUUGCCGAGUGUCACAAAAAAUACACUCGGCAAACCCCCCUCUUUGCCGAGUGUCAAAAAAAACACUCGGUAAAGAGGGGGGGUUUGCCGAGUGUUUUUUUUGACACUCGGCGAAGAGGGGGGUUUGCCGAGUGUUUUUCUUGACACUCGGCAAAAAAAUAUUUUUUUUCCUCUUUUCACCUUGAAAUUUUUUCUACUUCCCACAUACAACAUGUGGUACUCCAUGUUAAAAUUUGGUAUAUUUUUGGAUUUAUUUGCCAUAUUUAUUUAAUUAAUUGCAUUUCAAGGAAAUUUUUGGUAUAAGUCAAAUUUGAACUGCAAGUGAUUCAAAUUAUGGAACAAAAUGAGUAGAAAAAUGAUAUUUAUGUUAUUUGGCUAAAUUUGAGACCUGACCCAUGAAAUGAAAAGAAAUUUCGAACAUAUUGUUCAGGAAACACGACAAUGAAUCGUGUGGCGGUAGUAUUUUUAAAUUGUAAAAAAAAUAAGCAAAGUCUAAUAAUCUUGGAUUUGUCAUGAUGUGAUGAUAUAAUAUGUAGAGGCUGUGGAAAAAAAUUGAGAAGGUUUUGCACAUUUCAUCAUGUACGAUGAUUACAAACCGAAGCAUCUCAGAAGAAGAAUAGUGACUUUGAGAAGGAUUCGAUAAAAUUUAGAGUCGAAGUGACGGUCGAGUUCAGUUUGACUACAAAACUUUUUGUAUAGUCAGUAGAGAACACAUAUUGUUUCGUGUGAAAAUUUAGUAUUUUUUUGAAACUGUUGGAUAUUUUUUAAUUUUUUUUGAAACCCUUUACUGAGUGUCCACAUCGGACACUCGGUGACUUCUUUUUUUCCCAACCGCCCAGAGUACUUAUCCCCGGCCGACACCGCACCCACCCGAUCUCCUUCAUUCCUCCGCCACUACCCCACCCGUCCCCCACCUCUUCCUCUCUCCCUGCCGCCACCGCCGCCCGCCGCCCGGCGCCCGACCUCCGGCCCCGCCACCGCUCGACGCCCGGCGCCCGGCCCCCGGCCCCGCCCGCUGCCACCCCCUUCUUCCCUCCGGAUUUGGCCUCUCCUUCCCCGGCUCCCUCCCCUCCGGCCGGAUCCGCGCCCCCUUCUUCCCCUCCGGCGCGGAUCUGGCGGCCCCCUGCUCUCUCCCCUCCAGAUCUGGCGCGGAUCCGGCAGCGGGUGAGGCAGCGUGGUGGCGGGUGGCAGCGGGCGUGGCGGCCGGUGGCGGCGUGGUGGCCGUGGCCGUGGCCGGCAACCGGUGUUUCUAUUUUUUUUUAUUUUUUCUGAAAAUGUUUGCCGAGUGCUUUUUGACACUCGGCAAAUCAUUUGCCGAGUGCCUGAUGUUCGACACUCGGCAACUCCACCGUUUGCCGUAGGAAAGUUCGCCGAGUGCGGUUCGCCGAGUGUUACACUCGGCAAACUGUUUGCCGAGUGUUUUUGGGCCUUUGCCAAGUGCCUCAGGCACUCGGCAAAGUUCCUUUUUCCGGUUGUGCAUGGCGUGUAUUAUAUAUGGUUUUGCUCUUGGAAGUUCUUGUCACUGGUAGAGAAUUGGCCUUUAGUCCCGGUUGGUAGGGUGCAUAUCUCUCGAAAAUCCAUUCGGGAUAAACUAACCGGGAUAAAAGGGGGGGGUCUCUAGUCCCGGGUCUUUUAACCGGGAGUAAAGGUCCCCCUUUAGUCCCGAUUGGUGUCACCAACUGGGACUAAAGGGCCUGCCACGCCAGGCGCGGGACAGGCCCUUUAGUCCUGGCUCGAUUCCAACCGGGACUAAAUGGCGCUUGCAUGGCACUGCCGUGACGCCUGAAUUUUUCAUGCAUGCAUCACGUAUACGUAGUACCGCGGCCCUUUUAAUUUGUUAACCUUGUAGUUGAGAUUUUUUUAGAACGAAAUCAACUAGUAUUUAAACGAAUGGGAUUUGUAAUUAUACAAUUACUAUAUAUAUACACAAUCCUUAUACACAAUUCAACUAGCUUAGUAAAAAUCGAUCAUAAUUAGCGCGUAUUAUAUAUACAAAUAAAUCAAAGUAUCUUCCUACAAUCUUCCCGUCGUGGUGUUGCUGAUCGGAGUGUCUAAUUGUCGUCCAUCGUAAUAAAAUUCUCCUUUUGGAUUUACCACCUCGUCCAUUAUGAAUCCAAUGAGACCUUCACAUAUUGCCGCUACUCUUUCUUCCUUCAAGAGUCCUUGUUGAAUAUUUAACAUCUAUAAUUUGGAAAUUUGUGAAUGUUACAUGAACAAAUACAUAUAAGGAGCUAGAAAAUAAUUAACUAUUAAUAGUUUUAUUUUACGUACUUUAAAGUUGUGCGGCGUCAUCUUCGGUCCCUUGGGUCCCAUAAAACUGUGCAUGUGCUCACAGGUGUAGUAGCCACAUAGAUUAUUCCCGGGUUCCUGUCUUAAGCACUUCAGUGCAGAAAAAAAUAAGUUAUGAAAUAUUCGUGUUAUACAAUGUAAUAAAUGUGCAGACUGCAUACGUACUGGGAAGUCUGUGUUCCAUGUAAGUUUUUCUUUGAAUGGACCUUUGUGUGUCCUUAUGAAUUGUUUCCAUGCGCUGCGGAUUAGAAUAAUGAAUGAUAUAGUGUAACACGGAUAAAAUUUAGGAAAUAAAUUUUUGCAUAGAGAUAAAGGUCCAGAAUUAUUACAAGCCUAGCAUGUCUUGCAAUUCUUGGUAGUCCACCGGAUCUUUACUUAACAAAUCAAAGACAGUGACGUGGCUUCUUUCAGGCUCAAUUAUAAUAAGGAUCCAGUGGAAGCUGCGUGCGUAAAAUGUUCAUGCAUAUUAGAGCUAACUAACAUGUAGAGAUAAGGAAAAAGACAUCGAAAGUAGACGGUAUACACACACUUACUUGAAGUUGUAUGGAAGUAGUAUGAAAUCCUUGAAUGUUUGUUUGUGUAGCAAAUUGUAUAUUUCCGUAAAGGUUUUUUCCGGCGCUAAUUGUAUUUGUUGUUGGUUAACUACAGAUGGAUCCAUGAAGCCUAUAUGUAGGUACGCAUCUCGGCGACAUGUCUGAAUUAGCAUCCUACAUGAAAUGGAAGAUGAAGUUAGUACGGUGACGCACGCCAAAAUUUACAUGUAGAGAUAAACGGACACUUACAGAAUCCAAGCGCUGAUCAGAGAGACGUCCAGAGCAUCAUGAUGGUACACUUCGUAUAUAUCCUUGAAGUCUAGCCACAGCACUUUCUCCCCUUCACCGUGAAAAUCUAUCGGUUUUACCUUCAUGCUGAUCAUCUCCCUCGAGUCGGCGGAUGCCAUCAUGUACCAUUGAUGGAAUUCGUACAUCUUUGUUGAUAGCUUCCGUACCAAUGAAGGCUUUACUAGAGGUUUGCCUAGCUCAUAAGGCCACUUCGGCUCAGGGGGCAGUGCAGUUGGCAUCUCAACUUGCCCUAUGCAUUCAUCAAGUCCCAGACCUGUUUCUUCCAUGAACUUCAAUACAUUUGCUUGUUGAUCCAAGGGCAUUGCUUUUACCCGUUGAGCAUCUUUUUUUGAUAAAUGGCUGAGGUCGGGGACUGGACCGCUGGAAGAUGACUUUCCUUUCCUUUUAUCCUUUUCAUCAGCCUUUACUAGAGCCCGUUCAUAGUUUGACAAGAGUGGUAUCCUUUUCUUGGCUCCUUCUUCCAUCCUGAUAAAAAAGUUUAAAUCUCGCCGACUUACUGGCGGUGGCUCCAUCUCCCUUGCCUUUUUUUCUUCGGCUUGUUUCUUGAACCACUCACUGGCCUCUCGUUGGAUUUCUGCCCACUGUUCUGCAUGAGACAUUACCUCAAAGCGUUCCUUACGAGUCACUUCAGGCUCCUUUGUUUUCUUCUUUCUCUGUCUUUGCUUGGGAGGCGGUGCUCGUGACUACUUUAGUGGUGCUGCAGGUUCCUUCAAGGGGGCCGCUCUUGGUGCCGGCGACGGUGAUCGGGGAGGGGUGUUGUUAUUGUCGUCGUCGCUCCCAGCACCAGGAUGUGGUGGAGAUGGAGACCUUGAUAUAGAUGGAAGGGACGGUCCUGGAGCAGGAGAUGCCGGUCUCGAGGUAUGAGGAGAAGGUCGCUGCUAGGGAUCUACGGGGAGCGGUCUUAAGGUCUGAGGAGAUGGCUCCGUGCGGAGAAUAAUGAUGUAGUGUUUCUUCCAUAGAAUGAUCCCAUGAAGCGCAUCUGCCAAUGUCUUUUCCCCGUCGCCUCCCGGGAAGUCGAGCUCUAGACCUUCAUACUGGGGAUCAACUAUUUGCUCGAUGCAGACGCUGGUGUAGCCUGUUGGAAUGUCCAUGCCAUGACUGCUCUGCCCUGCCAGGGUUGGUAACGCACUCCCGUACGCUACCUGUACAUAUAGUAGAAGUAAACAAGUUGAACUCCGAUCUCGAGGCCUGGAUCAAUUGACAAUAUUGCAUAAAUAUUAUGUAUAAGUAUACCUUAAUAGUGAGGUUGCCGACCGGUGCAUGCAGCUCACAUGAGGUCCGUUGCUCCUCCACGGGUAACCUGGGCGUCUGCGCAUCGGGGACCCCUGUAGAAGCACAACUGCUCAAGAGGUGUUGAGAAGGGCUGGCGGUGUUAGGAUUCGGCAUUGCUCCAGAUUGGGCCAACUCCGCAACUGCGUGGGCCACCCACCGAUUGAUUUCAUCCAUCAUUCUUUGUUCUAGCAUCUGCCGCCAGCUCUCCUCGAUCUGUUCCUUUCUUCACUUCCGGCUUCUGUAAGAGGCGCUGUCGCCUCGGAAAGCGAACUUCCACGGAACCACCCCGAACCCUCGGCAACGUCCUGGGUGCUCUGGAUUACCGAGGGCCAAUGUGAGCUCAUCAUUUUCUCGGUCCACCUUCAACCUCCCAGCCUUAGAAUCUUCAAUGUUCUUCAUGAGAUGUUUGGCCUUCUCACGUAUUGUGUCAUUAAAAAUCAACGUCCCAUCCUCUUGGCUUAGGGAGCCUCCAUGAGCGUAGUACCAAUUUUUUGAUCGUUCGGGCCAUUCAAUAGUUGCAGGUACGAUUCCCCGUUCGAUCAGAUCUUGUUCCAUCUUCCUCCACUUGGGAAUUGCUGAGCCAUACCCACCUCGCCCCAAAUGAUGGUGGUAGCCCUUCUGACUAGCAUUUGCUGUGUUGGUCGUGAUCUUUUUCACACCUUCUUCACUCCUCUUAUAUUCAACAAAUGCAUCCCAGUGGUCCCUCAACUUUGGCCACGCGUUGAAGUCUGGAGUUUUGCCCUUCUUGAUGUAGUGGGUAUCCAGCAUCUUCUUGAAUGUCUGGAAUUGAGUAGCCAUCUUCUUAAGCGUCCACGCUUUGACAUCCUUCUCACUAUAUCCUUCGGGGAAUGUGAAAUGUCUCUUCACGUCUUCCCACAGCAUAUUAUUUUCUGUCUCUGGAAGGGCGUACGGAUUAGUGCUUCUGCCCUUCCAUUCUCUAAUGCUGAUAGGCACGUUGUCCCGGACGAUUGCCCCGAUUUGACUCACGUACUUCUUUGCUACUUUCUCGGGAGCAACCGGCCUGCCCUCUUCUGUAACUUCCGUGAUGACAAGCCUCCCUUCCAUCACCUUUGUACGACCUCGGGUCUUCUGCCCUUGUGUCGAUCCGGAGGGCUAACAGUUCAAGAUUCGUUAAUUAGUACGUAGUAGUAACGGUGGCGUGAAACAAUUCAAGAAUGGUUGUAUAUACCUCGCCGAAACCUUCCGCCACGGCAAGUUGUUGCUGCGGCUGUUGCUCUUCAUUCCCAUCGGCGGACAUGUUGACGAACAUGUCCGCCUGGGUGCCCUCUUCAUCCGUGUAUGAUAGUGGAACGUUGUCGCCACUACCAUCACCAGCGAUUAUCUGCUCCAUGAUAUACCUUGCGGUCUCAUCGUCUGCCAUUUCAACUAUUGAUGGAAACAUACAUGGAAUCAUACAUGACAGUCAUAGAACUCGUCUUACUACAGAUUUGUACAAAGUCCUACAAAGUCCGGAAUCAUACAUGUAUAUAAUGAAAUCAUAAAAUAACAUGAAUCGUACAAAGUCCGGAAUAUUUAUACAAAUUUCUACGAAUUUCUACGAAUUUCUAUAAAUUUCUACGAAUAUCUACGAAUUUCUACGAAUUUCUAUGAAUUUCUACAAAUUUCUACGAAUUUCUAUGAAUUUCUACAAAUUUCUACGAAUUUCUACGAAUUUUGACGAAUUUCUAACAAUAUCCACGUGCGGUGCCUAGGUUGUGACGGCGGUGAUCAGGGCGGCGGAGGCGGGACGGCGGCGGUCAGGGCGGCGGUACGGCGGAGGCGGGGAUGGUUCACCGGAACCACGGGCGGUGCCUACUAGGUUGUGAUGGCGGCGGUUAGGGCGGCGGUACGGCGGAGGCGGGGACGGUUCACCGGAACCACGGGCGGUGCCUACUAGGUUGUGACGGGCGGCGGGACGGCGGCGAUCACGGCGGCGGGACGGCGGAGGGGACGGCAGUGCAUCCUACAAAUUUCUAACUUCAUUUUCUAACUUAAAAAUCUAACUUAACAAACUAACUAAAAAAUCUACAGUACAAAUAAAACUUAAUUUUCUAGCUUAACACUCAAAAUUAGAAAUCUAUCGUAAAAAUAUAACUUAAUUUUCUAACUUUAAAAAAAACCCUCCCGGCGCUGCCGGCCGGCGCGGCAGCGGACCUCUUGCGCGCGGGGCAACGGCCGGGUCGGCGGGACGGCGGCGGCCGGGGCGGCGAGGACGGCAGCUGCCGAGGCGACGACGACGAUGGCGGCGUAGGCAGGACGGCGACGAGAUGGCGACGAGGGGCGACGAGGGGCGACGAGGAUGGAGCCGGCGAUGACGAUGGAGCCGGUGGCCGGAGGCGACGAGGUGGCCGGGGGCCGGGCGCGUCGACGGACGAGGAGGGGAUCGAGGCGGGCCGGCCGGGGGACGACGACGGCGCAAUGGGGGACGUCGACGGCGCAAUGGGGGACGACGACGGCGGUGGCUGGCGAGGGAGGCGGACGGGCGGCGACGGCGGAGAACGCACGGGACUUGGCGAAAAUUUGGCUAAGUGUGUAACUGGCAGGGGGUAGAAGGGAGUACAGUGCCUUUUAACCCCCCCCCCCCUUUAUCCCGGUUCGUAAUGGCACCCGGGACAAAAGGGCCUUUUGUCCCGGGUCCCGUCACCAACCGGGAUAAAAGGUCCCCCUUUUAUCCUGGUUGGUGACGGGACCCGGGACAAAAAGGUGCCCCCGCCAGGUGGGGCUGGGAGCGUACCCUUUUGUCCAGGGUUCCGUCACCAACCGGGAUAAAAGGCCCCCUUUUAUCCCGGUUGGUGACGGGACCCGGGACAAAAGGGUGCCCCCGCCAGGUGGGGCUGGGAGCGUACCCUUUUAUCCCGAGUGCCACCACCAACCGGGAUAAAAGGGUACGUUCGGGCGGGAGACGAAACGUACCCUUUUAUCCCGGUUGCCGUUUGCAACCGGGAUAAAAGGGGGGCCUUUUGUCCCGGUUGCUGUUAACACCCAAGACAAAAGGUCUUUUUUCCUAUUUUUCUUCUCCCGCCUGUUUUUUGGAAAUGGAUUUUAUUUUAUCUUUUCACUGCAUUUCAGGAUGAAAAACAAAACCUUCACAGAUUUUGUACAUGCAAAAAUAUAUUUAAUUAACGAGUAAAUUGACAAUAAGUAUGAAUUAAUCAUUAAUUCUAUACCAGUUCAUUUAGCCUGUAAAAUAUUUAUUUUACUGCAUUGCUGUGAUCAAGAAAUUAUUCAAUUAAAUUAUUUCAAUGCGCAGAAAAAUCCAUGUUAGUAUGUGGUUAACAAUGUUCAUGUUUAUCUAAAAAAUCUUCACCUAAGAAAUUUAAUAACACAUAAAAUCAUACAUAGGGUAAAUUACAAAUUGUAUCAAUUAAUACACAAAGGUCAUGUACAUUUAACGCAUUACAAUACAACGUUGUAAAAUUUCUUCUUCACGAAAGUUUACUUGAUCAUGAUCGUGGCGUAAGUACGGAGCCUCUUCUUUGGAUAGCAGGAUGCUUGGAUCAACUUCAACGGCGAAUGGAGGCAUGCCAUCAAACUGAUCAUAAUCAUCUGAUUGGUCUGUUUUAUCCUCGACUCCCACGAUUUUUCUUUUACCUAGAAGAACUAUGUGGCACUUUGGCUCCCAUGUCUCUUCUGGAUUCCUCUUGGGUUUGCUGCACAUGUCCUUCACAUAGAACACCUGAUGCACAUCAUUGGCAAGUACGAAUGGGUCAUCACUGUAUCCAGUCUUGCUCAGAUCUACUAUUGUCAUUCCGUACUGAUCUUUGGUGACGGCAGUUAGCUUCACCCAAUUGCAAAGAAAUAGAGGGAUGUACAGCGGUCCGUAUUCGAGUUCCCAUAUCUCCUGUAUGAAACCAUAAUACGACUCCUUGCUAUUAUUUCUGUCCAUGGCAUCUAUGCGGACACCACUAUUCUGGUUCGUGCUUUUCUGAUCCUGGGCUCUCGUGUAAAAUGUGUAACCAUUUAUCUCAUAGCCUUGGAAUUUGACGAUUGUGGUAGCAGGUCCCCUGGCUAACCAGGCAAGCUGUGGGUGAAUCUCAGAGUUACCCAUAAGUUGUUGGCGCAACCAGGAGGGAAAAGUUUCCAUGUGAUGACGGGUAAGCCAAGCAUCGGAUUUGGUCGGGUUUUUGGAAGCUACCAUCUACCUGUGCUGCUCGAUAUACGGAGACACAAAGGAUGACUGUUGUAGAACAGUGUAGUGUGCCUUGUCGAACAAAUCAGUAUCAUUGCUCAAACUUGAUUUGCUUCCAAGGGUGCCCAUUCCUCGGAGCCUCCCCUCGUGGCGUGAAGUUGGAACCCCAAUCGAGUCAAUUGAAUCAAUAAAAUCAACACAAAACUCGAUCACCUCCUCUGUUCCAUAUCCCUUGGCGAUGCUUCCUUCUGGACGGGCAUGAUUAAGAACAUAGUUUUUUAGGACUGCCAUGAACCUCUCGAAAGGCCACAUAUUGUGCAGGUAUACAGGUCCGAGAAUACCAAUCUCUUUUACUAGGUGAACCAGUAAGUGCGUCAUAAUAUUGAAGAAGGAUGGUGGAAAUAACAACUCAAAUUUGACAAGAUAUUGCACCACAUCGUUGUGUAGCUUUGAUAGCUUGGAUGGAUCGAUUGCCUUCUGCGAAAUCGCAUUGAGAAACGCGCAUAGCUUUACGAGCGGCAACCGGACAUUUUCUGGUAGAACACCCCUCAGUGCAACCGGAAGCAACUGGGUCAUCAACAUGUGGCAGUCAUGAGCCUUGAGAUUUGUAAACUUCUUUUGUUUCAUAUUUAUUAUUCCCUUUAUAUUCGAGGAGUACCCAGACGGGACCUUCAUACUAUUCAAGCAUUCAAACAUGCUAUCCUUCUCUUCCUUGCUGAGAGUGUAACUGGCAGGACGUAAGUAGUGCUGUCCAUUAUCUCUCUUUUCCGGAUGUAGGUCAUCUCGUUGCCCCAUGGCUUUCAGGUCCUGUCGUGCUUCCAAUGUAUCUUUUGAGGUUCCAUAAACACCCAUGAAGCCUAGCAUGUUCACGCAAAGAUUCUUACAGUGCUUCAAGUACAUGCUGUCUGUGUCGUCUAAACAGUGGGUGCAUGCCCGAUAUCCCUUAUUUGUCUGUUCUGAAAGGUUACUCAAUGCAGACCAAUCGUUGAUGGUUACGAACAACAGUGCUCGUAGAUUAAAGAUCUCUUGUCUAUCCUCAUCCCACACACAUACACCUUCUUCCUUCCAGAGCUGUAAAAGGUCAUCAACCAACAGCCUUAGGUACACGUCAAUGUCGUUGCCGGGUUGUUUUGGGCCUUGGAUAAGCGCCAGCAUCAUAAUGAACUUCCGCUUCAUGCACAGCCAAGGAGGAAGGUUGAACAUACAAAGGGUCACAGGCCAAGUACUAUGGCCACUACUCAACUCACCGAAUGGAUUGAAUCCAUCAGUGCUUAAACCAAACCUUAUGUUCCUUGCUUCACUUUCAAAGUCUGGGAAUGUUCUAUCAAUUGAUCUCCACUGUGCCCCAUCUGAGGGGUGUCUCAGCAUCUCAUCUUCCGUACGGUCUUCUUUGUGCCAUCGCAUCAACUUAGCAUUUGCCUUGUUCCUGAACAAGCGCUUCAAGCGUGGUAUUAUAGGGAAAUAAAACAUCACCUUCGCGGGAACUCUCUUCUUGGGAGACUGCCCCUCGACAUCACUAGGAUCAUCUCGCCUGAUCUUAUACCGCAGGGCUUCGCAGACGGGACAAGCAUCCAAUUUCUCGUAUUCAUCACCAAAUCAACUGACCAAGGUCAUCAGUAGGGUCAUUUUCUGCAAACUCAUCUUCAUCAGCCUCGCCCAUUGUAGUACCUGCAAAAGCUUGGCCUGCAACCCAGUCCGGAAUGGUGUCAUCUUCCUCCUCCUCCUCGCCAUCUUCCAUUACAACCCCUAGUUCACCGUGCUUGGUCCAAACCAAAUAGUUAGGCAUGAAACCGUAUUUAAACAAGUGGCUGUGAAUAGUCCCCCAGGAAUCCUUUGAAUACUCCUUCCUGUUAUUGCAUUGGAAGCAUGGACAACAUACGAACCCAUUCUCUGGCUUAUUCGCUUUUGCCACUUCGAGAAAAUAAUGCAAGCCAUCAAUAAACGCCUUGCUCCGCCUGUCUGCAUUAUACAUCCAUUGCCGGUCCAUCUGCAUCAUAUUACGCAUGAAAAUGGAUUACACUUGACAAUGGAUUACGCGUAAAAAUCGAUUAAAGAUCCAAACAAUAUGGUACAAUACAACAACAUGAAGAUCCAAAUAAACAUAUUUAAAUUAAAGUCCCAAACAACAUGAUACAAUACAACAAGCCAUCCACUGGUUAUUAUCAAGGAGGACUUUAAGCAUCCUUGGACGGUGAAGACGAAGGUUCCGCUGACCCAACCUCAUCCUUAGGUUUAUUUGUGCCGCCUGAAACGGUAGUACUAAGUGGACGUGAAACACCCGGGACUGAGGGUGGAGCAUAACGACCACCAAAAGGAGGUUCCUGACCCGCGGCAACAGCUUCUUCAUGACGUUGCUGCAAAUAACGAAGCAUUGCUUUUUCCAGCGCGCUCUUUUUCUUCGGCUUAUGCUGAGGGCCAACUAUGAUUGGAACCUUGCCAUAAUAGGAACCACGAUCGCCCCCACCAUCGCCACUUCCUCCAAUAGCAGAAGCCAUCUAUGUACAAAAAUUAUUAUCUUAACACUGCAUAAGUUGUUCAACUUGAAGACCGUGAUCAUCUCGCGAGGAUGUCCUCAACUGGGCGGCACCGCACUUCGUCAUGAAAGAGGUUAGAUGCUACGGAAAAGGGGACACGGUCACGAUGUCCGUAUCCACUCUUUCUCGUAGAAUCGAACCUCCUUCUUGACAUACGUUGCUGCUCGGCGGAAAACAUCCUCGGAGAGAUGAACACGGUAUGCAAGUUCAACAAGUAGCAGAAGUCAUCUAUGUACAAAAAUUCUUUCCUUACCACUACAGAAGUUGUUGAACUUGAAGACCGUGUUCAUUUCGCGAGGAUGUCCUCAGCUGGGCGGCACCACACUUCGUCAUGAAAGAGGUUAGAUGCUACGGAAAAGGGGACACGGUCACGAUGUCCGUAUCCACUCUUUCUCGUAGAAUCGAACCUCCUUCUUGACAUACGUUGCUGCUCGGCGGAGAACAUCCUCGCCGAAAUGAACACGGUAUGCAAGUUCAACAAGUAUGGAUUUAAAAAACCAUAUUGAAUUUGAUAAGAUAAACCGUCUAGACAAGGUAGCAUCAUUUUUAAACCACUGCAAUAAUGCAUACUAUAUAUGACACAUCAAUCUCCCUCACAUUCUAGCUCAAAAUACCUCUCCAUUUUUCUACUUCAUCAUCACAUUGUAGCAAAUAAUCUUUCCAUCUCCAAAGCAUAAAUCAAAGCAUAACACGAGGAUGAAGUAGCAAACCUUCGCAACACUUGUGUUGGCCGAGUGAAAUUCCCACGAAAAUGAGGGAAAAAACUUCGGGCAGCACCUUCCUUGCUUGCUUCGACACCACUGGAGAGUAGGUGAAGCUCAGCUCUCUCUGUCAAUGUGCUGGAUUGGCUCGGGCUGGAGGAGGAAGAAAGUCCUCUGUCUUGGCCGUAUAUAAUGGGGAUGAGUUUUUAUCCCGGUUAAAAACUCCAACCGAGACAAAAAGGAACACCUUUUGUCCCGGUUGGAAGUUUAGUCCCGGUUGGAGGAUCCAACCGGGAUAAAAGGUGAACCCUUUUAUCCUGGUUGGAGGCACCAACCGGGACUAACCUUUUUAUCCCGGUUGGUGCCUCCAACCGGGAUAAAAGGGUUCACCUUUUAUCCCGGUUGGAUCCGCCACCGACGCCCUCCAGCUAGCCGUUGCAACCGGGACUAAAGGGAGUAAAUCUCCCCUCCAAUUUUGCCUACCGUGGCGCACCCCCUUUUGUCCCGGGCCAACUUUAAACCGGGACAAAAGGGGGCGGAUCGAAAGCCAAUUCUCUACUAGUGUGUGGAUACGGCCUCACGGUCUCCUCAUCAUCCUUCAAUGAAGAAAGUGUAUAUAAACGUACUCAUUCUGUAUAUUCGACGACCUAGUAUCGUAUACCUCCCAAGUCUUUGCCUGAUAAUUAAGCACGUGAUCAAGUUGGCUUUACAAAGUCUCGUUAGCAGUAGCUUAAUACAUAAUUAAGUUUUCUUAUUGCCCGUACGUCUUGUUCGAUGUGCAACAAGUCCUGCCGUACGGUGCUUUUAGUGCAAAUUUAAUUAAAUAGAUGCCAAUUGCUACGCUUGAAGGAUGAAGGACAACACACACAAGUGGGCCACCUGCAGCUUGUCUUCACCAUCACAUGCUCUAACUGCAAAGAUAAGUACUUAACACACUAUACUAGCUAGUAUACUACACUAGCAUGUGUUGGAUGAUGUAAGCAUGCAGUCUCUGGAUGAUGCAACUAAAUUAAUUUAUAUAUGUCCGGUAAUUAACGUUGUGUUUAAAUUUUUUCCGUGCCGGCAAAACAAAGUGUCUCCAAAAGGUAUGUCUUUUAGUCACCGUCACUGUAACUGAAUUCUUUGCGUAGUUUGCUGUUGCUUAACUGCACACAUAAACCAGUUUAACAUUCAAAUGAGCCAAGGGCAUCUUAAUUAGCAUGGUAAUUUCAUGUCGACUUGGCACUUUUGGCAACAUGCAAGACUUUUCUUGGUCUUGAUUCCGGAGCCACUACUAGCGCACCCGAUCAGUGGGCCUCGCAAUUCUAUGCCAAAUCACGUGAUAGAAUGCAACUAGUUAGUACUAGCCUAUAGCACAAAACUGAAUUUGAUGCCUUGACAUAGGAUUAGUUUACACCCAAUAAUCCCAAGCCCGAGGCGCGCUAGAUCCAACCACCGGAGGUCGCGCCGUGCUCCACGCCAUGCCGCACCGGAUCCGGUCCUGAAAGCCACAUCUCCACCGCCCAAGCGCCGAGACCUAGGGCGCCUCGCUCUUCCUCUCCCUAGCAGUUGGCCGUGCCCUAAGCCCGCCGUCCCCCGCCACACCUAGCAGUUCAACAUUCAAAUGAGUGAUUUCAUGCCUACUUGGCACUUUUAGCAACGUGCAAGACUUUUCAUGGUCUUCGAUUCCGGAGCCACUACUAGCGCACCCGAUCAGUGGGCCUUGCUCUAACUAGUUAGGUUGAGUGUUAUUAGCAGUUUCCAUUGACAUGAUCACCUAAUCUGGCAGCUAGCUAGAACGUGCGUGAAGUCAGAGUUAAGUAAGGUACAGACACAGUUGCUUUUCAAAAAGCAACUUCUCUGCAAAUAAUCUUUGAUGACUUCACCAAGUCAACGUCUUCGUAUUAGUUGGACGCAUUCCACUUGCAAGGUACUAAGCACUCAUCUCUAGUGCAAAACUCAGGUAUCAUUGCUGCUAUCAAUGAUCCCUGCUUGUUUAAUUGCUCUCUCUCUCUCUUUUGACCUUUUCCAUGUCCAAAUGCUCCACAUGCUUGGCCUGCAAGAGGGCACUGCUAGGAAUGUGGACUUAUUGAAGGGACAUGUUUACCUCGGCCUUUCCACUGAACAAUCAUUUUCAUGGAAAACCCCAAAAGGUGUGGGUUUUGUUAAGUCUAAAAUGAACCAACUAAAGAGUUAGUAACCAUUAAGAAUAGUGUUGGGGAUCGCCCAAAAGAUCAAUCACCCUCGAAAUCAUUCGAAACAAGGUCUUGUACUUGGCUCUGCAUUAUGCUUAACCUCGAAUGGAAUUCCCCAACCUCAGAGGGAAAACACAGUGCAAAGAGGCAGAUUCAGCCCGAAGCCAAGUGGCCUUAACCGCUCCUUAGGUUGAUUGAUCCUAACCUCGAGCACCCGAAGCUAACCCUAUGUGCCAAGUUGUCUAUUAUCCUAUGCAGGUUCACCUCUUUUGGUCUGGAACCAGAACGCAAAGUUAAACGUGUCUUGGUCAUGAGGCCUAGGCGGACCAGACUCUCGAAGCUUGCCGACCUCGGACGCUUGGUUGGAGCCCUGAACGCGAGGUUAGAAGGCAUGGAGGCAUUGAAGCGGUCAAGGUGGGAAUCGCGGAGCCUUGUGAGUGCGUGAUUUGCGGAGCUGUCGGGCAGCGUAAGAAAUGUGAUAUCCAAAUGACUUGCAUGUAAAGCAUAUUCUGAGAAUGUAGUUGUUCAAUGGGGGCAAAUGUGUAAUGCCAAGUACCUCUCAGGACACUAUAAAAUUAAAGGGGAACCAUCCCGUUGUAAAUUUUACGCUCACUCUUGUAUACAGUAAGACCAAGGAGGCUUAUUGCGCUCCGUUGUGACAAUUCUUGGCCGAAGUUAAGACCCAACAAAUACAACAUGGAAGUAAGGUGUCAGCCUUGGUAGAGAUUUAUGUCCCAAAGCUUACUUCGAUCACUUAAGGACUGGUUCACGGGCAAGUCUUUCUAGUGAAAUGUACAACCAUAUGUGCCAAAAAAGUACAGCCUUCGAGAGUGACUAUUCAUGUAAGGCCUUCAUUUAUACCCUGCUAACUGAAUCUAGAAAUCCAUCCCAAGGGGCCACGGGUAGGCAACAGAUAUACUAGAACAAGUCCUUCACAUAGUAUAUCUGGGGAAAGGAGAAAAGUGGGAGGAGAGAGAGAAAAGUGGGAAGGGUAGGGGGGUAAAGAGUACCCUAUAAGCAAAAUAAGCAGCUCCAAACUUGCUUAUUUGCUUAUGCAAAAGCAACUUAUAAGCAAGUCUAUAAGCAAGGGUGUUUGGGUUAUAAGCAACUUAUUUGCUUAUUUAUAAGUUGCUUAUUUAUAAGCAAUGGUAACCAAACAGACCCUAAAGCAACUAAUCAAGACGGCGGGCUCUACGAUCAAAGCUAGUCGAUCGUCUCCGUGGUACGCCUUCAUCGUGCCCCGAUGAUGCACACAUUAUGUAUUAUUUGUGUUCACUGAAUUUAAUUUCUUCCGCUGAGAAGAAAGCAAGUGUAUCGGAAUCUUCAUCUCGCUACCUAGCAUGCGGAUUCAUACCAACUUUAUGCAUGUGCAGUUGAUUUCCAAAUACAACAUAUUUUCUUUCUAGCCAAAUAUGGCAUACCAAAAGGUUGGUUUGGGGGUGGGGGGAUCCUACCCUGGUGAUGCUUGGCCAUUUGGAUACUACUGUGUUACUAUUAGGUAGCUCGAUCAUAAUAUCCAUGUCUCACUAGUAGAGAAUUGGCUUUCGAUCCGCCCCCUUUUGUCCCGGUUUAAAGUUGGCCCGGGACAAAAGGGGGUGCGCCACGGUAGUUGACUUGCAUGUAAAGCAUAUUCUAAGAAUGUAGUUGUUGAAUGGGGGCAAAUGUGUAAUGCCAAGUACCUCUCAGGACACUAUGAAAUUAAAGGGGAACCAUCCCGUUGUAAAUUUUACGCUCACUCUUGUAUACAGUAAGACCAAGGAGGCUUAUUGCGCUCCGUUGUGACAAUUCUUGGCCGAAGUUAAGACCCAACAAAUACGACAUGGAAGUAAGGUGUCAGCCUUGGUAGAGAUUUAUGUCCCAAAGCUUACUUCGAUCACUUAAGGACUGGUUCACGGGCAAGUCUUUCUAGUGAAAUGUACAACCAUAUGUGCCAAAAAAGUACAGCCUUCGAGAGUGACUAUUCAUGUAAGGCCUUCAUUUAUACCCUGUUAACUGAACCUAGAAAUCCAUCCCAAGGGGCCACGGGUAGGCAACAGAUAUACUAGAACAAGUCCUUCACAUAGUCCCAGAUCCGGUCAGCACAGGUUGACUGUGAGAGGGUCAAAGACCCUAUUGAUAUAUUUGCUUUAUGCGCACUUUCCUGGGGUAAUAUUCGUGAGGCAGAUGAGAGUAACCCUUGUUUGGAUCCCAGUAUAUAUGCGGAUGGACCUAGAUGAUAUUGUGUAGAGAUAGACACUGGUAGGUACGGGUCUCGUAUGUACCGCCUAAAGCUACGAUAUGGACUGACCUAAUGUGUGUGUACAGUUUACAAACUCUGCAGAGUCAAUAAUCUAUCUAGGAGCUGAGGCUCACAGUCACUAGCUCACAUAGUUAAAGCUCCCAUUGAUCAGCAAUCAUGUGUUUACAUAACUUGGGUGUUAGUGAGGAAGGGCUAAGGCCCUAAGAGAGUUACUUUAGAAUUAGGCGUAAGCCGGCCUAGGAGGACGGUGGCGGUCUCUGGUACUCUUUAAAGCAUGGGAACUGGCAGGGGCGGAUCCAGGGCCCGGGCUGCUCGGGCUGCAGCCCGGGGCGAGACCAUGAAGUCCCUUUAACCUAUGUGCUGUUUAGCCUAACAAAAUGAGGCUUAGGAGACAAAAUUAGACUAUUUUAGGUGUGAUUCAACAGCUCAGCCCGGGGCGCAGUCCCAUUCUGGAUCCGCCCCUGGGAACUGGUAGGGGAGGUAACAUUCCCUUCAAGAGCCAACAACUUCAUAAAAGUGUUUGCUUCUUUUUCUUUUCCCAAAACUCACAUCAACUUGCAUAAAAUGAGUUUCUUGAUAAAACCAAACCUCUUGUACUUUUCCUUGACAUCCCAAAACUCACAUCAACUCUUGGAAGUUCUUGUGGAUACGGUCUCACGGUCUCCUCGCCAUCCUUGAAUGAAGGAAGUGAUGCACUUAUAUGAACGUACACAUUCUCUAUAUUCGAUGACCUAGUAUCGGAGACCUCCCAAGUCUUUGCCUGAUAAUUAAGCACGUGAUCAAGUUGGCUUUCCAAAUUCUCGUUAGCAGUAGCUUAAUACAUAAGUUUUAUUAUUACCCGUACGUCUUGUUCGAUGUGCAAAAAGUCCUGCCGAACGGUGCUUUUAGUGCAAAUUUAAUUAAAUAGAUGCCAAUUGCCACGUUUCAUAGUAAACCAAAAAAAACUUGCUGAAGUUAGACACCACACAAGUGGGCCACCGGCCUGCAGAUUUUUUAAAGGAAUACAUGGGAAGGAAUCUUUUCCUUUUCAGAAAUGCAUGUACAAUAGCAAUGGGCUUUCUAGUUGACCAACCUAGACGUAUCGAGCUCUGUCAACAUCAUUAAUUUAGCUAGAUUUAAUAAACGAAGUUUCCUCGCAACCAUGUUUUGACACCAUCAACCUAAAUCGUCCAUAAUACUAAAGACUGUAAAUCAUAUGACCCGCGCCUAUAAAUAGCCACGCCGCCGGAGCGAAUUGCAAAGCAUGAAGCGCCUUGCAGCCAUGGCAGCACAAGUGCUGUGGUUUCUCCUUACUCCUACCGUAGCAUUUUCCUAUCUAAUUCCACUGCCGCCAUUGGUGGCAGCAGCCUCCGGUUCCAACAUAGCGCCACCACCACCGGUGGUAGCAGCUCCAAGGCCGGGCUGCCCUAGCAUGUGCGGCAAUGUAAGCAUUCCCUACCCAUUCGGCAUCGGGGACGAAUGUGCCUUGGGCUCGGACUUCGCCAUCACUUGCAACCAUAGCUUUAACCCUCCAAGACCGUAUGGAGGCAAUUUUGAGAUCAUCAGCAUCUCGUUGGAGGCCGGCGAGAUGCGUGUCUUCUCCCCCGUGGCCUACAUCUGCUACAACUCAUCCAACACCACUGAUUCAACCGGAGUCAUCGACUGGACAUUCAACUUCUUCACAUUUCUUAUCUCGCCGACGCGCAAUGUCUUUACAGGCAUCGGCUGCGACACGUGGGCGUAUAUGGAAGGCAGAGAGGAUUCCAGCUUCUUCACUGGCUGCAUCACCACAUGCAACAGCUUGCAUGCCGCGGCUCGAGACGGCGAGGAGUGCGCGGGGCUUGGCUGCUGCCAGAGUUCCAUCCCGACCAACAUCUCCACGAUACACAUCUACUGGGAGAGAAACAGCUCAAAUAAUGCAUGGAGAUACAGCCCCUGUAACUACGCUUUCAUCGGGGAGAAAGGCCGGUAUGUAAUACCACUAACUUAAAAAGUCCAAAUUAAACUACACAGCCCCUGUGUAUUAUGAUGGCCUAUCUUAUGUUCUUAACUUGUCAAGAUGAACUUUGAUAUUUUGUUAUUUAUUGUAAGGUACCACUUCAAACAGAGAGACCUCAUCACACGUGUUGCAGACAAGACCUUUACUGACCGUUUUGGAGACAGAAGCAUCCCUAUGGUGCUUGAUUGGGCCAUCAGGGAUGGUGUGUCUUGCCAGGCACCACCAAAGGAUGCUGGGGCGUCGGCUAAACCGACAGCUCCCGCUUGCAUCAGUAGAAACAGCUUCUGUGUUAACGCCACACAGGGACCUGGGUACGUCUGCAAUUGUUCCAAGGGCUACACGGGCAACCCCUACGUCACCGAUGGCUGCACAAGUUAGUAAAUUUUAUUUACUCUUCGUAUAUAGUCUGUAUUCGUUUUGCAUAAAUAAGCAUGGCAUUUUUAAUCAUUAAAGGAUUUAUUUGAGGGAUAGGAAAUGGUUUACUAGGAUUGUUGGAUCCAUUGAAAGGCUUAUUAGAUGCCUUGUAUAUUGCUCAGUGGCAUGCUUGGCGUCAUGACCUUGAGCCUUGCAGUCCAAGCAUACCGAUUGGCUCGUGUCAUGCUCUGCUCCGUUUUAUCGGUAUCGUCCCUUGUUGAUUGAGGUCCCUGCUAUUGUUUGCAGGUCCAAACUAAAAACCUGCAACCGUAAACCUGCACACUUUGACCGUAUAAACUGGGCUGGUUGGAGGAAGGGAGGCCUUGUUUGGAAGGGGGUGCUAAAACUUUAGCACCCCACUUCUAGCACCAUUUUAGGACUUGUGUUGCCAAACAGAUGUGCUAAACGUGGGGUGCUAAAGUUUAGUCCCCGUCUCCUUUAGCUCCUCUAAGGGGUGUUAAAAUGGGCUAAAAGUGGUCCCAAGGACUAUCUUUGCCUGGUUGCCCACCCCCACCCCCCCUCUCUCUCCUCCGCCAGCAAAUCCGCCUCCGCCCGACCCCUCUCUCUAUCUCCUUCGCGCCGCACUCCGCCUCCACCUUGCCGCCCAACCCGUGUUCUUCGGCGGCACCCCUGCCACCAGAUCCGGGGCGGCCGGCUAGAUCCUCGCUCCCCAUCCUUGCAACGCGGGCCUAACGGGCCAGACGCUGGAUUCGAGGCGGCCGGCGACGUGCUCAUCGCCGGAGGACAUGGAGAACAGCUGGGCUAGCGCGCCGCGGUGGGGGCGUCCUUGGUUCCGCAACCUCUUUUUCUACGAGUCCACGAUGAUCUUGUCUCCGAUGGCGCCGCAGCUGGGCGGGGACGUGUGGGAGUAGGUAGAGCAGUUGGCGUCCGUCAAGCACGGCACCAUGCUGGGCCAAGAACAGGCUGGUGGCUGUAAAACCCCGUCCUCCAAAGCCGCACCAUCCAGCCCUUCUGAGGGGCGGACACGCAUACACAUAGCACCCUGCUUACACUUUCGUCCUCGCUUCAUAUAAGAGGGUUAACCCGAAGGUGCUAUGGCUUGUUGAUGAAGGCUUAUAAGUUGGUCCCACCCUUGCUCAACUAGCAAUGUUGUACUAAACAUGCGCGCCUACGCUCAUAGGCCACACUGGGCCAACCAAAUUGGGCCGGGUGUCAUAUUCACCCCCCCCCCUCAAAAAACCCGACAUCCUCGUCGAUACCGUAUGUGUAGUGCCGGCACCACAUGCCAUGCCAUGUGUCCCAUCCAGAACCCACACGAGCCAUGCGCCAUAUGCCCGCAUACAGACCCGUACGCGCAACCGUGAGUGCCGGUACAACUCACCCACACAUGGGAAAAUGUCUAGGAACGUUCCAUCUUAGUGCAUGAUUGUACGCCCAGUGAUACCCGCACACUGACCCGUAUGCGCAACCACGAGGGUCAGCUCUGAUACUAUUUGUAACACCCCGUCCUCCAAAGUCACACCGCCCAGCCCUUCCAAGAGGCGGGCACACGUACACAUAGCACCCUGUUUACACUUUCGUCCUCGCUUCGUGUAAAAGGGUUAACCCGAAGGUGCUAUGGCUAGUUGACGAAAGCUUAUAAGUUGGCUCCACCCUUACUCAACUAGCAAUGUGGUACUAAACAUACGAACCUGCGCUCGUGGGCCACAAUGGGCCAACCAAAUUGGGCCGAGCGUCACAAUGGCGUUCGUCGGUUUGAGGGGGAAGUACCCGCGAUGGGGGCAGUUCGUGGUGGCGAAGUGCCGGAUGGACCCGCGAGGCCUGUUCAACGGCCCAUUGUCCGACGAGGUCAUCGGCGGGGUGGAGAUGGAACCGGUGGUGGCGCCGCUUGGAUGUGGAGGGGGCACGAGGGAGGAGAGGAGACCGUGGGAGGCACCCGUGUGCAGCGGAAAGGAGGGAAGGAGGGGUACACGUGUCUUUUGUAAAUCCUUUAGUCCCGGGUCAAAAAUCAGCCACCCGUGGGAGACCCUUUAGUUGCGGGUUAAAAAAUCAGGCACCUGUGGGAAACCCUUUAGUCCCGGUUGAGUGACCCGGGACUAAAGACCCCCCUGUCUUGAUUGCUUUAUCCCAGAUGGAUUUUCACGAGAUUUGCUCCCUACCAACCAGGACUAAAGGGGACUUUUCCAUGGGUGAAUCUGCAGGUUGUCAGCCCUUCAGAGUUCUCAGGCCUUCAGCGUUUCAGUGUCAUGUUGCCAUGCUGUGAGUGCCGACCCUAGAAUCUUCAAGCUAGCUGAUAUAAUCUUAGUUGGAUAUCGAUAGUAGCAAUCACGCGGAGUGUGGAAAACGUUAGCAUUUCCUUCGUUACCGUAUAUAUAAAUUUCUUCCAGUUUCCGUAGUUUUCUUCUACACCCGCUGGUGCCAGUUUUCUUACAGCUAUAUGUGCUUACAUAGUCUAGUGAACUGGGGAAACAUAAAAUUCUUAGCCUACAGCUUCCACAACUCUUCAUAAAAUAAAUUAGACCCGGCUGUCUAAAUAUACACAUAAAGUUCAUCUAGUGUACUUGCACCCACCAAAUACAUGUUUUGCAACCUAGCUAGAGAUAAACCUCGUAAGAUACUACUAUACAAAUGUAAAGGCACAUAAGAUUGCAAAAAGUAGUCACAAGAACUUAGGAAUGAGCUAGAGGAUGCAAACUCUCGAUUUUACCUCAUGGUAUUGGUAGUCAAAUGCUACCCCUAGUCCACGUUGGACUACAACCAAAUUAAGGAUAUGCUCAAGGCCACCAAAUCUCUCCCGGUAAAAGUUCUGGACUUGUCAUUCAUGUUUCUUCCAAGAUGGAUGAGGAGCAUGCCAUAAAAGGCAAGUGACAAUUCUCUCUUCUGGUCACAUUGUCAUUGUCUUCACUACAAAGCUUCUCCAAAGAAGGAGGUAUCCUUGUUAAUCGCAACCACUCCACACCAAGCCAAAGGUUUGACAAAGGUUCCGGUGAGCCAUAAGCCCAAAUGGUGUCGGUGCACCAAGCUUACAAAAAUGAUUCACCUCCUUGAACCAAGCAUUAGACAUCAACACCUCCAAUUUCUCUCUAUAGGCAUAAUCUAGCACUAAACACACUCUAAACAUGUGCUAGUUAAUUGCCUUGAAUGAUCAACUUAGCACCUUGGUAACUUGGAUAUGCCUCUAGUGUAUCUUGGAAUACCUUUGAAUUCAGCACACUCUAGGGUAUGUGCACCCACGCUUCAACCACAUAGCCAUUGGAAAACAUAAUACCCAAAGCUAUAGCCAGUUUCUCUCGUUAAGCUUGAUAUCUCUCGUUAAGCUCCAGUCGUUAUAUACUCCAAUGUCUCCAUCUAGCCUUCGAGUUUUAGCUGCUUUCUUCACUCCAAACCAAGCCGAUCUCAUUUCUUUCAUCCGUUGCCUUGAUUUCACUACCGGUCGGAUCUUACAAUCACCUGUUCUUCUCACACGGAUCAUGUUUCAUAGCUCCGAUCAAUUUUUCUGGUCGGCCAUUCUAUCUUCAAGUCAUAACUUUGAAUCAGGACAAAAGUUUGCAAUUUGCACAUGUUUGUUCGGGCGAACUCCGGUCAGUGCUUCAAUGCACCAAAGCAUCAUCCGAUCACCUUUGAGUGCAAUGCCUUGAGAAAAUUCUAUCUCAUACAGGUGACAUUAGUAAAUAAAUGCAUACAUAGUUGCUUCGUAUAUGCGGGCUAGGGUUUGGUUUAUCAACUAGGUGGAAAAAACUUUCUUUUAGAUUUUCAUGUAUUAUUAGUUGAAGUUUAUGUGAAUGUCUUUUGCAUCUUAUUGUAUACAGAUAUCAACGAAUGUAGCAGUACAACGAAUGGUCCUUGUGGCAUGUAUAGCACAUGCGAGGAUACAGAUGGUGAUUAUAAUUGCAAAUGCAACUUGAACCGGAAAGGAGAUGGUAAAAGUGAAAAAGGAUGUUAUCAGUAUGUAUUUGCACCAUAUGCUAUUGCUGCCGUAGGUGAGGCUCAUUAAAUACAGCACGCUCCUCUCUACCAUAUGCUAUUGCGUCCACUUUCGUAAGGGUUUAGUAAAAAAACAUUAAAGGACAUUUAACCUUUAUUUGUCGGAAUAUAUAAUCAGUUAUUUUUAAAUCAGUACAAUAUAUCAAAACCUCUUUGAAAUACAUAUAUUGUUAGCAUAAUGAUAGGAUCCCUGCUGGCUGAUUAACCAUUUCCGUUUGUUGCAAAAUGUCAGUCAUACAACCUAUUACUAUUUUUAUAAGAACAAACUUCUUCGGUUUUAAGAUUAAAAAAACUUUUACUUUAAAGUGUAGAUAUGGAGUUGCCGUAACUUAACUUAUAUGUUAGUGAAUCACACAACAUGUAUCCUUAUUGUUUGCAGCAAUAACUCUUGUCGUCAUCCUAGCAUGUUUGUCAAUUAUUUUGCUUAUGAGACGAGAGCAGAGGAAACUUUUCAACAAAAACGGUGGCGACAUUCUAAAGGAGGUGGGUAUCAAAAUCUUCACCAAAGGGGAUGUGAAUACUAUCACAAAGAGCUACAGCAAUCGCAUUGGAAGAGGCUACUUUGGCGAUGUCUAUAAGGGGACCAUCAUCGACGAUCCCCCCCAAGCACUACAGGUCGCGGUUAAAUGCACUGUGGCGAAAAAGGUGGCACGCCUUCGGCAGAAGUCGCUGCGAGGUGAGGCGCCGCAGCACGAGCAGGAGAAGCUAUGGAAGGAAGGGUUCGUGAGGGAGAUCAGCUUCCAAUUCAAGGUUAAGCACCCAAACAUGGUCCGCCUCAUCGGGUGUUGUCUGGAAACGGAUGUCCCCAUACUAGUCUUUGAGUUUGUCGGUAAAGGAAGCCUCCAUGAAGUGCUUCAUGGUGCCAACAAGCUCACUCUCUCGCUGCCAAAGCGGCUUGACAUUGCCAUUGGUUCAGCAGAAGCUCUCUCCCAUAUGCACUCGCAUGGUGAUUAUAAACACGUCCAUGGCGACGUCAAGUCCGACAACAUCCUCCUUGACGACGACCUCAAUCCCAAGGUAUCUGACUUUGGGUCUUCCAAGCUCCUUUCGGUCAAGAGUUAUGCUAGGGACGUAGCUGCAGAUGGGAACUACAUAGACCCAGUGUACUACAGCACGGGACAUUUCACGGUAAAGAGUGAUGUCUACAGCUUCGGUGUCGUGCUCCUUGAGCUCAUCACAAGGAAGAAGCCUAGGUAUGGCAGUAGCGAUGGUAACAUUCUGACCAUAGACUUCAAGAAGUCCAUCAAGAACCACAGCAAUGCACGGGAGAUGUAUGACGCAGAGGUCUUAUCCGAUGACAAUGCUCAAUCUCAUCGCUACAUGGAGUGCCUUGACAUGGUCGGUGCGCUCGCGGUCCGAUGCCUCAGUGAAGAUGCGGAUGAGAGACCAACCAUGGCAGAGGUGGUGGAUGAGCUUAAUCAAGUAAAGUCGAUAGCCUGCGGGAUCGGAGCUCAUGCUCUGACCUGAGUUGAAAGCAGCAUAUGAAGGAAACAAAUUAGGUACGAAUGGUCAUGGCUUGAGCUUAUUAGCAAUCUCUAUAUCCAUUAAUUAUAAUUGUCAAGUUGAAUGUAAUAUAUAGCUAUGGACGUAGAAAUGAGUAAUUUUAUUUUCCUGCAUUUGUUUUAAUAAGGCUGCUUAUUAUUAAGCUGCAUGUAAUUGUGCACUGGUUUAAUUCAGGGAACUUUGUAUGUCUACUAUGCGGGCUGAUGCUUCCUCACAGAAAGAUAUUAAUUCUGUUAAAAUAAACAUGAAUAUUACUUGGAGGAUGUGCAACCAUGCAAAACAUGUACUCCCAUGUCACAAUAUAUGUUUAUCUGUAAUUCUAUGAGAGUAUGGCGGCAUAUAGUAAUGCUCUAUCACAAUACCCGACUGGAUUAAACCAGGGUUCUAGGAUUCGGUCUGAAAUCCAAAAUGAAACCAAAUCGGUCAAAAAAUUCUACCAAAGUUGAAUUUUUCUACCAUUACUUAAAUCUAUUGUCACACCCGGUUUUAAAACAAAACCAUGUGCUACCUAUAUGUAUGCCAGGAUCUAGUUCCAUAUAUAUAGGUAGCACUUGGUUUUGUUUUAAAAUCAGGUGUGACAGAAGUGUUAUCAGAGCUGUAUCGACUGUAGGACGUAAGCCUAGAUAGCAUUGGUCUCUUCCUAAGGUCUGUUUUACCAUAAAAACAAUUCCUGCCUUAUCCUUGACCUCUCUGAUGACUAUUUUCACUCCUUGAACGUAUUAUCUACACCUUGAUUGCUUAUUUCUGAACAACCUUGACUCUUAGUCUUUUACCCCCUCUUUGUAAUGCUAAACCCUCAAUCUUUUCAAUUGACUUACUCCCUCUUUGAAAAAAAAACUUAUUUUUUUGCUACUCGCACCUUGUCAACUAUCUAUGUUGUUUUUGCUAAAUCCCUAACCCUUGUAUGUUUAUUCUUCCUCAUUGAUGCCUAUUUGACUUUGAUUAUACAUCUUCCUUGAUGAAUGACUUUCCCUAUUCCAAGCAUCUCACCUCCUUUUAAUUUGUUGGUGAAAUUGCUUACACCUUACUCCUUGAUAUUUUUUAUUUCUUACUUAUCUUUUAUGCAUAUCUCCUCCUUGAUUUUGUUUCCAACAUAUCCAUCAUUCCCCGUUGUACCUCUCCUUGCUUUUCAAAUAAUAUCACUUUGGAUUCUUCCCUUGAUUUUGAUUCCAAAGUAUCUUUUCUGAUUUAAAAAUGUUUAGAUGAUCUGUGUCACCUUUCCUAAAACCCAUCGAAGUCAUCUGAAGAAUGAAGCUACUAGUUCAUCACUAGAAGUCAAGCCUCAACAACCGAAGAAGUAAUCCCUUCAUAGGAGUACCCCUUGCAAACCUCACUAACAACGAUUAGCUUUUGUUCCUUAACUGUGUGUUGAUUGGUGAAGUUCUGUGUGUUGCUUGAUGAUGUUUGUCUUGAUGACCUUGAUUGAGUUGGUUCUUUGUAUUGAUUGUUGAUGUAUUGUGGGUCUUCUACCUGCAAUGACAUCAGUUGUCUAGUUGGGUUCUUCUUUUGACCUCCCACCUCUGUGUUAUCCUCCUUUCUUUCUACUCAAACCAAUGAAGAAGGUCGGAAGAAGGAAACUGAAGUCAACACCAACGUUAACAAGCAAGUGUUAACAUCACCACCACCAUCUCCCUAGAAGCAAGUUGAAGAUUUGAGGCUUUACUCUGAUCUCCCUAACCUUACUCUAAUGAAGAUUACAAGAACCAAGAUGAUGAAGAAAACACGAAGAUUCUACUCGACAAACAAAGAUGAAAGACUAUCUAUUCUAAUAAUCUUGUUUUCUCCCUCCUUGUUUUUCUUUCUUCGAAUCUCGGGACGACAUUCCUGUUGAGGGGGUAGUGUUGUCGUACCCUGAAAUUUUCAAAUUUCAGGAUAUGAUUAAAAAAGGAUUAAUUAAUCAAUGAUUUUAUAUAAUUUAAAAUUUUUCCUAACAUUUAUUUUCAUUCACAGGAAAUUUCGUAUAGGAAAAAUAAUUGUUUGUCUUUUUUGAAAUUAAAUAAUGUUGUUCUGUGUCUGUGCAUUCAUGCCGAUGCAUCUUAGUAUUUCUUGAGUGAAAAAAUUUUAAAAAUGCGUUUAGAUGUUGGCUAGACCCUUCUGAGAAUUUUUCUAAUUUUUUUGGAAUUUAUUCUCCUUUUCCUUGAUCUUAAUUCAAUUUUGGAUGGCUCUAGAAUCCUUUUCCCAAGCUCGAAAUAUUUUAUUUGGAUUCCUUGUGUCUCAAAAUAUCUCUGGGAUUUUUCCUAGAAUUUUUGGGAUUUUCAGUAUUUUUCGUGGUUUACAAUAUUUAUCUAGAAUUUUCUGGAUUUAUAUUCCCACGUACAAAUAAUUUCUGAAAAAUGAUCAAAACUUUCUUUUCCUUUCGGGGCGAGCUCGCACCUGCGAAUCCGGCCCAUCUCCUCCCUUCCUUUUCUUUUUCUCUAGCAGGCCGCCAGCCCAGCAACUUUCAUCGGCCCAAAACACCAUUGGCCCACCUCUCUCCUCCUCUCCCUGCUCUUCCACCGGCCCAACCUCCUUCUCUCUCUCCCCUUUCUUUUUUUUCCCAGCGGCCCAGCCAGGUGACGCUAGCCCACCUCCCUCGGCCCAACAUCUGGCCGGCCUGCCACUUAUUCCACCUCCCUCUCUCACUCACCGACAGGUGGGGCCCACCUGUCGGGCUUCUUCCAUCUCCCGACGCCAAGACGCCGCACGAUGCUGCACGGAUGGCGCCGUCCCUCCCAGCGCCUCCUCGCCUCCACCGGCGUCCUUCCGGCUUCCCGCGCCCCUACAGCUCCUGCGUCGCCCACUCUCCCUGGUCUUCCCUUCCAUUUUCCCUCCCAUCUCUAGAAACGAACGCCACCUCCUCCCACGAUUCAUGGCCGGCGCCCGUUUCCUCAAAUAGCGCCUCCUCCACUCCCUCCAAGGCCUAUAAAGCCGCCAUCGAACUCAUCCGGUGCUCUCCUUUCCGUUUCACCGCUCAAUCGCCGCCCUAGUGCCCGGCCAUCGUUCCUUUGUCGCCACCGAAUGCCGCCGCCGCAUCUUCCUAUCCACCGCCACCCAAAACGCCAGCGCCGCCGUCACCCGCAUCCCUGGCGCGGCUGCCGCUGCCGCCGGCUUGGCCGUCGUCGGCUUGACCGCCCCCGGCCGGAAGUCCUCUCCCGAAUAGCCCCUGUGCGCCGGCGAAGCGGCCGGUCGUCUAGCACCCCUCCCCCUGAGACCUCUGUCUUGGUUGAAGAAGAAGGAAUUGAAGGAAGGGAUAAGGUUGUGCUUUUCACCCUAGCCCCUGAAGUUUCAUUUAUUUUCUCAUGUAUUCCUUGUGCCUUCGAAAUUCUGCAGAAAAAACCCCUGAACUUAUCAAUACCUUGCAAUCUGACCCGAACCUUGCCGUUUUGCAGAUCUACCCUUCAAAUUUUAGAAUUUCACAAGCAUGUGCCCUGCUUCUUCGUAAACUUCUUUGCUACCCCUUGUAAUCUACGGUAAUCGCGUUUAGGUCCCUAGAACUUUGUUUAGCCCGUAGUUUCCUCGUUUUAGCUCCGUUUUGAUCCGUUCAAGUUGCGUUGCGCUCAUCAUGACAUAAAAUACACGUUAGUAGUGUUGUCAUAUUACAUUUCAUGCCUUUUAAAAUAAAUUUAGUAGUAAUUGAUUAAUGCCUAAUAAACGUUCUUUUCAAAAUAAAAGUCACCAAAGAGCUAUACACCGUUUUUCAUAAUGAAUAUCAACUUGAUUAAUGAUUACUUCAUAAUCUUUCUAAAUAAAAGCCAAUUAGGAUAUACAUCGACUUUUCAUAGAGUAGAGUUAAUUUGAUUAACACUUAUCUAAUGUUUCUUCAAAUUAAAAGCUAUUUAGUGAUACCCCGGCUUUUCAUAAAUCAAAUUUGAUUUGAUUAAUAUUUAUUUAAUUUACUUUCUAAAUAAAAGCUACAUAGGUUAUAACUCGAAUUUUCAUAAAUAAAAGUUAAUUUGGUUGAUAUAAAUAUCAAUGUGUUUUUAAUAUAAUAUGCUUAGUUGAACUCAAAAUAUGAAGCUAUGCGCUUAGAUGUUCAUAUGUGCCUUAUUUUCAAAUUAAAUGUUUAAUUUGUAUAACUUAUACAUAAAUGUUUGCAAAUAAAAUUGGCCUGAGUUUCACACCGUGUUUUCAUAGACAAAUAUAAAUUGAUUAAUUCUAAAUAGGAUAUUUCUCUGAAAUAACCUAUGUGCAUGUUUUAUUUAAUUAAAAAGGAUCAAGCAUAUAGUCUUUUUAUUUCUUUGAUAAAUCAAACUUCUCAAUAGUUUCGAUCUUACGUUUGUGUGACCCAUAGAACGACCCUCGCCUUUAGUACGUUGUUUUAAAGCCUUUCUUUUGUUUUGGUGUAUUGUUCUUAGUUGUACUUGUUUGUUUGUUAGUGUCGAUGUUUGCUUCAAUUAGAAGGAUCGCCGUUCGAAGCUUUGAAGGUUAAGAGUUUCAAGAAAGCAAGAACCGAAGAGCAAUAAGAGUAGCUUUACGUUGGAGAAAGGCAAGUGUCCCUAACCAUCCUUCUACCUAUGCUUUGUUCACAGUGUUAUGAUAAUCUUAAUUGGAACAUGGAGAACCAUCCAAGAAAACAGUACAACCACAAUAUCACGUGGCUCUGAUCUUAGCCAACUAAUUAGGCAUGUGGUAGACUAGUGGUCUUACCGAAAGGGCAAGGAGGGGGAAGGUGUCGAUGGUAUGACCCGGAGCACUAGCCUUCUAAGGUGCUGACUCAUUACAACGGGUUGUGACCCACAUCGCUACUGAAACUCUAGCGGGCUACUAGUUAGCUAUGUGUCUUUGUAAAGGCUUCGUAGUGGACCCCCUAGCCACUCACCAAAGGAAGUGUUUAAGGGCUUUGCAAACCUGGGCAACACGGGGGACCACGAGUUGUGGGUAAAGUGUACAACCUCUGCAGAGUGUAAACUGAUAUAUCAGUUGUGCUCACGGUUAAGAGUGGCUUAGACCCUCACAUGAUUAAUUAAACUUGAAGAUGGAUUAAAUCGUAAUUCUAGUUAGUUCCUAUGGCCUUGCUGAGUACCAACCAUAAGUGUACUCACCCUUGCUUACUGCUGCUCAGAAGAAGAAGAUGCAAUGGAGAUGUUGUGAAGAUGCUGCUGAGUUCUAGGCGUACGCAACCCCCAGUUGAGUGCCUGUGAAGUUUGGAGCCUCCGUUUCUAGAGUUUAAGCUCUGUGUCUUUGUUAGUCUUGUAAGUCUCUUUUUGUAUCUUUUUACGUGAUAUUGUUACUGUUAAUCACUAAUGAUGUCACUAUAUGUAUGGAACUAGAUCCUGGCAUACAUAUAGUUAGCACUUGGUUUUGUUUUAAAACCGGGUGUGACAUCUAUACAAGCUCACAUACUCCCACUACUGCAAAAACAUAGCUUCGAUCCAAAGUCUUUAGUCCCGAAUGAUUUUGGACUUGGGACCAAAGAGCCUUUUGUCCUGAGUCAAAAAUCAGUCACCGAUGGCCACCAAUGGGGAGCUCUUUUAGUCCCGGUUGGUAAUACCAACCGGAACUAAAGAGCCCAUUUAGUCCCGGUUGUAAAAUUCUGACCCUCGGAAAUCUAGCGGGGCGUUUAGUUCCGGUUGGAAACACCAAUCGGGACUAAAGGAUCCCCAUUUAGUCGCGGUUGGAAUUAGCAACCCAGACUAAAGGGGGUCUUUAGUCCUGGUUGGAAACACCAACUUGGAGAAAACGUCCCCCCUCGGUCUACGCACCUAGCCUCGGAUCCUUAUCUUCUCUGAAUCCGCUCUCCUAACCACUUCUCCUCUCCUCCUCUUCUCUCUCCCGCCCGGCCACCUACCUCCCUCCCUAUCGGCCAUACAUCCUCGGGCCCAUCAGAAGACCUGCACGGACCCACUCAAGGGGACGUACUCGAGAUGUAUCAGAACAUGGAGACUACGAUACAGGCAAACAUAGGCUACAUGGACUCCUGAAAGACUAGUCGGAAUAUAAGGAAACUACUCUGCCGAGUUAGAGUAGGACUCUGUAGUCGUGUCCGUCUAGUACCCUUGUAGCAAAGACUACCUUGUAACCCUGCUUCCCCAGUAUAUAAGGGCGGGUAGGGAACCUCUCAAACAAGUUCAAUCCAAUACAAGCAUACAAACACACAGGACAUAGGAUAUUACGCGAUCUAGCGACCUGAAUCUGUCUAAAUUGCAUCCCUACGUGACCAUCAACUUCCUGAUUCCGGUGACACCCACCAACCAAAACUCAACCCCGGGUACUCCUGUGGUAGGUUGUCAGGUAUAAAACACUAACAGCUGGCACGCCAGGUGAUGACGACAUCACCAUGCUGGAUACACAUGAGCCUUGAUCUUCCUCAAGUUACAAGUCGUCACCGACUUGUCGCGUUCGGUUCGAAAUCAGCCGACUACUCUAGACGGAUUUGGCAAUAUCUCCUUUAUAUGACAUCGAAACAAGGUGUUCUUUGAUGUGUUGGAAAGAAGACAAUGAACACUUUCAUUUGGUUCUGGUCCUAGCUCCAGAAGCAUCAUGGAUCAUUCUGUGUGACCACAACAAGGUGAUGUGUCACCAGUUUUGGACAAAGUUGGCCUUAUAUCGUGUCGGGCCUUAAGCUCAAGUUGUGGUCGCCCCCAACCCUAGCUCGCCCCUUUUUUAUAUAAACUUAGUAGCAGCUGCCUUAGAAACUCGGGUUUUGUUUAGUUCUAGUUUUCCAUUGAGAAACUGAGAUUGAUUCAUUAUAACUCGGCGACAAGUCCUUUUACAGUGAUCCAGGGCCCCUAUUUUGUUCUCCUCCACUAUGUCGAUUAGUACUUUUGAAUUGAGAGCUUGAACCCAUAUUUAUCUUCACUUCAGAUAUAUUUGCAAUUUCAGAUUGUGCGUUUACACUUUCUUGCUUGUGUUCUUUGAUUCACUUGCAGGGAAAGCCUUCUUGGUGAGGUCAAUUGAGUUGUUCUUGGUUGAUAACCAAUGGAGCAGUGGUGUAGCGGUUGCAGGGAUUCGAAUCAUGUCUGAUUAGAAGCCCGGAUUGUCAAUGUCGAGUUCUUCACCAAUCAAAUUACCCCCAUACCUAUCAGAAGAUUGGGCCAGUCCUACAUCAAGUGGUAUUAGUAUUCCAGGUCACCCGUGAGGUAUAUUAUAGUGUUCCCCCCUUAGAUUCAGUUCAUGUUCUUUACCUAUAGUCCACAAAAAGCCCCCCAAAAAACACAUUUACACUUUCCACUGUCCUGUCGCCUUUUUAGCCUUUGCAAUCUUUGUUUUAGAUCCCCUUUGUUGAGUUCGUGUCCGCGGUCAAGUCUUAUUGCUGGUUUAGUGUGUUCGCGGUCGUAGUCCAACCGCCCAUCGCAGUUUCGUUUCCGCCGCUAUCCCAUCCAACUUUUCCAUACAACAAGUUGAGCCAUUACAUUACUUGACUUUGCCCCCGCUAGCUGCCUUGUGUGAAUUCUUGCUGCACAAGCCCUAGAUAGGUUGCAAGCCGCAGUGUGCCUUUUGCCUUGCAUUGCAACCAUACUUGAUUCAUCUGACAAUACCUAUUGCAUCUACCAGGAAAGAUUUUGCCGUUGGAUUGCUUGCUGAGAAGUCUUGCUCAGCCGUGAUCGGUGUUGGGAGGAUAGGGGAACUUUGCCCUAGCUGCCGCCGCUGCGUAUGACCUAUUGAGCCUUCAAAAAAUGCUGAUUCGGAGGCCCUUGCUUAAAACAGGCAUAACUAUGCUGGGUUUUGCAGUUCUCAGUUUUGCCAAAUUUGCUCUGGAAGUGGGAGUUCUCAAGCUUUAAAGUGGUUGCACGCUUUCCAGAGAACAUGCCUGAUUCUCUAUGGACCAUAUAGUACCUCCGUUUAAGCUGAAACUUUUUGUGGUUCCAUCUUGUGUUAUCUUGCGACAACCCUUAAGGGUCUGGCCCGUGCCAUCCGCCCUCGGCCUGCGGCGCCAGAUGCGAGCACGCGCGGGUGUUGCGGCCAACGGCAGUGGUGGCAUCCGCUGCGGGCACGCACUGGCAAGGUGGUGUCACUGUGAGGUAACCUGUGGUGGCAGCGUACGCUGCAGCUAUGGCCACGAGCGUAGGAGGUGCUUCGCGUGGGCCGGCCAUGGCUCCACGCGGAUAUGGAGCCAACGCCAAGACCACGCCGGAUGUUUGUGCAGGAUCCAUCUAGAUGGAAGGUACAGCAAGCUCCAGCGCUUGGCUGCGCUCAGAUCCGUCCUCCCCUAAGCUUGAUCUCGUGCUCCCACCCGGGGCUCCUCCCCCUGGUCGCGGUCUUGUGGCUAGCGGCUGGUCGGAGCUCUGGCGUGGCCUGGCCAAGGAUGCCCGGAUUUGGCCCAACAUGGGGCUUAGUUGCCGGAUCUGCUGUGGAGCUAGCUAGAUCCGGCCAAGUAGCAGCAGUGCGGUCACCCCCAAGCGCCCCCCGCUUGAGUCAGCCUAAUCUAGGUCGCCAUAGCUACCUUAAGCUCGUCAGCUAUCCAUACUAUGUGCGUUGGGGACGAUGGGCUUUGUGGCGAACGGCGCACGGUGCUGCAGCUGCAGCUGCAGUUUUGGUGACCAGUUUGAGUGGAAUUUGCAAAGAGAAAUCCUCUUCUAGUGUUGUGCUGGUUUUCGGCAACAACGACGCUUGUGGGUGCCGAUCUCCUCUGUGGAGGCAUUGUCAAGUUUUGUUCCAUGUAGGUGCUGGUGCAGCCAAGGUAGGUGGGCAGGAACCUACAGGGAGAAAUCCAUGCCAGGUAUUGCGCUGGUGCCGACAAUGGUGAUGCCUUCGGGUGCUGCUCCCCUCCAUGGAGGCUUUGUUGAGAUGCCUCAUGACCACUUGCUACUGCUGCUGCUUGCUUCCCAAUGAAACUGGUAUCGCGUCCUUCCCCUGCCAAGAUGUUGGUUGGUACUGCUGCUAAGGUCUGCCUCCCUGCACCAUUUUUUUAAGCUUUCACCAUGACCAGAAAUGUGAUUAUUGUCGGUAUCUCUACUCUAUCAUCAUCCUUCUUCCUUUAUUGUACUGUCUCAUCUUAUGUCGGGUUAACGGGACUAUGAUCCCCUCUAUUCGAUCUCCCCGUUCUCCCCUUGACGGCCCUUCCUCCUUUGUGGUUUCCUCCCCAGAAAGGACGUAGAAGGAUGUUGAUUGGAUCUUGGAUGGUCCUCCAAGGCACUGCAAUCAAGACUGUCGUUUGUCGGCAUCGGCUUUGACUCAAUGCUUCACAGUUGUGGAAUGGAGAUCGGCAAAGUAUACUUUAGUUUGAUGAUAAUACAGGCUAGUGAAAAGGCAUCUUGCCCUCAUUUGGUUGCAUGUGUUGGAUGUUUGAUCUUAAUCUUCCUUUCUAGAUUGGCACUGUGGGGUCUGUUUGGUCUUUUGUAACUGGUACCCCCUUUUUUUCCGUUUCCUCCCCUGAAAAUAGAAGUGUAACACUUUGGCCUACCAAAGGCCCCAAUAAUGCAAUCAGGUGGGGAUCUCCCCCGUUGAAUCUUAAAAAAACUUAAAUUGAGACAGAACUAGAAAGAGUGUCGGGACAUCGAGAGGUGCGUGGCCAGGGUCGCUUGGUCGCCGCGAUGUACCGACGCACCGCCAUGACCUGCCAACCAGUGAAGCAAGUGCAUGGCUGCGAGCCAUGUUGAUGAAUCGAGUGCCCCUGUCACUGAAUAAUGGAGCGAAUUGAUUGCCCUGGACUUGACCGCGUCAGAGCUUCACGAUUCUCACCAGAGGCGGCGGCGGCGUCAUUGAUGGAGAGAACAAAGCCGGAAGUGCUGACCCAGACCCAAGAAGGGGGUUGUAUGCAAAAAUUCGGAUCUUGAUCGAUAAUCACGGUCCAAUUUAGGGUGGAAUUUGUAAUUAAGUGGGCCUAAUUGCAAAUAUUCGGAUCGCGAUCCAAAAUACGGGGUAUGUGUAAAACUUCAGGGGCCAAAUUGAUAAUAACUGGAUGGAUAAACCAGGGUGUCUUCUGCAGAACAUUCAGGGCCAGCAGACAUGGCAUCCGGCGACGCCGCGCCACCGCCCACCGCCCGCCCCGUUGCUAGCUGACUGAUCCAUUCAUGUUAUAUUUCCCCUUAGGUUGCAAUUUCUGUAAUGCCUCUUGUACAAGAGAAACUAGUUAUAUCUUUCCACUCUGCUCUCCAAACUUUGCAUGAUGGUGCAGUUAGCAUCCAACAAAUGAAAAUUAGUUUGUGAUUUCCGCCUCACUGACUCAAAUAACUUUUGAAUUUGUAAUUGUGUAGCCUGCCUCAAUUUUUAUUUUUUGAAACGACAAACUAUAUUCAUUUGUAUGCACAUAACACAGGGUAUGAAUGUCCCCAUGUUUCAUUCACAGCUGUACAACUUUGUUUCUUCACAAUUGUUCUAUGCGAAAUCAUAUAUUGUAUAAAUCACAAUAUGUUGAAAUGAUGUUUUUAUGGUGGCCACCGACAGUGCAGGGUAUGUAGCUGGUGGACCUGUUCUGUUGGGUCCCAGCAAGACUGACUUCGGACCUGGAAUCAAGUACUCGUCUACGAUUCCAGAACAUCAUGUAUAUACGAGUAUGAGUCUACGAGUAGUGCCAGAACACAAAGUCUUCCUGUAUAUGUUUGCAACUUCAUCUGCCGAACUUAUCCUGCCGAACUUUUGCAACAAGACUGACAUCUGACUUGGGACACCCAGCAUACGUUUGCCGACUACGAUCAAACGCAGGCUCCGUCGUCUCGUGCGGGCGAAGCUAGCUGACCAGUCUGCGAGAGCGAUUCUUUAGUACUCUCUGCAGGGUCACGUAGAGUAGGCCCGUCCCUAGGGGGCGUGCAGACUGUGCGACCGUGAGGGCCUCCAUUUUUUUAGGGCCUCCAGUUUCCAGUGCUACAGCCAUCUGGCUCAUCAUUUCCUGACCUCUAAACCUUAUUUUCCUUAUUGCUGGCGCUCUCCUGAAGACCUGAACAGCCCAAGCGUCAUUCUCUGUCCAUGUCUGUGGUUCUGCGCCUAUUCAUCUCUUUGUCUCCUGAUCGGGAUGAAGAUUUGAGUAUUUAAAUCAGUCUCAAAAAAAGGGCUACAGCCUAUGGAUAUGUUUAUUAUAGAAUAUUCACAAGUGCCAUCCGAUAAAACACUUGAUCAUGGUUCUAUAAUUGAUAGUAAUAUUUACAAUGAUCCUAUAAAUAGUCAGAUAGACACCAAAACAUAAUUUUGAGGUUCAGUAAGAUCUUAUUGACAACACAAAUGUGCAAACGGAUAAUACCGUUGAUAAUGUGAAUACUUCUAAUGCGGAUGUUGAAGAUUCUAGCUAUUUUACUAGCCUACUAUAUCCCCCAUUUUAGAGUUUCGUACAGGGCCUCCAUUUAUACCGGGACUCCAUUUAUACCGGGACGCCCUGCCUAUAUAUAUAACCUAUCAGCCCAAAAAUACACCACAAUUCACAACAAUGGCCACUGCGAGCUACCCGGUCCCUCUAGUGUUUUUGGUCAUCUUGCUACCAGUCCUAUUGCCUGCUGUCAUUUCUUCGUCUCCAAGCCUAAGUGUAACCCAUGUUAAUGGCAGCUACACAGAUGUCACUGCCCUGCUGGCUUUCAAAUCGCUGCUCUCUGAUCCUCUCGGAAUCCUCGCCAGCAGCUGGACAUCCAACGUAUCCUUCUGCCGAUGGGUCGGCGUCUUGUGCAGCCACAACUGGCCACGCGUCACGGCUCUGUGGUUGGUGGACAUGCCCCUCCAUGGAACGCUCAGCCAACACCUCGGUAAUCUUUCUUUCCUCACCAUGCUCAACCUCACAAGAAUUGGUGUCGCUGGACACAUCCCUGCUGAACUUGGAAGGCUACGUCAGCUUAGGUUUCUCGAUCUUUCUGGAAAUGACCUCUCAGAUGCCAUUCCUAGUACCAUAGGAAACCUCACAAGGCUGAAGAUUCUUCGCCUAAGUAACAACACCCUCUUGGGGCAGAUUCCACCACGGUUACUAUAGAGCACGAGAAACCUUCAAUGGUUUUCUCUAGUAUGGAAUGACUUGAGUGGUAACAUACCGUUGUAUCUAUUCAAUAACACACCUUCCCUCAAGCACAUGAACCUCGCAAAGAAUAGCCUAUCAGGUCGUAUUCCAUCUGGUCUUGCAUCAUGCCAACACAUGCAAAUGACCUCCUUGUCAUACAAUUUUUUUUGUCGAUGUUGUGCCAACAUGGUUGGCUCAAUUGCAACAGCUUACCUAUCUAUUGUUGGAUACUAAUUCCUUACAUGGCUCUGUCCCAGCUGUUCUUAGCAAUCUCACCCGUAUUACUAAUCUUGGACUUUCUUUCAAGAACCUGACAGGAGAGAUUAAAAAAGAAUUAGGCCUCAUGCGAGAACUCUCGUAUGCAUCUUGGACAGAAUUUGCUAACAGGUCCAAUUCCACCUUCUAUUGGAAAUUUAUCGAAACUGUCUUACCUAGUAUUGACUAAUAAUUCAUUGUCUGGAUCUGUACCAGCAAUAUUUGGGAGCAUUCAAACUCUAAUCUGGCUAGGACUGGAAUAUAAUAAUUUGAGUGGGAAUCUUAACUUCUUGUCAUCUCUUUCCAACUCUAUGCGACUCCAACGUUAUAAUUCUUUCACCGGACGAAUCCCUUACACUGUGGGGAAUCUGUCUACACAAUUACUUGUGCUUACCCUUAGUUACAACAAGCUAACAGGUGGGCUUCCAUCCUCACUGUCAAUCUUGAGCAGUCUUGAGUUGAUUUAUCUUACCAACAACCAGCUCACAGGGACUAUCCCGGCACAAAUUAGUAUGCUCAGAAACUUACAAAGGCUUAUUAAAUCUAUGGAAAUAGAUUUCAUGGCUGUAUACCUGAAAGCAUUGGAAAUCUUACCAUGCUAGAAUACGUCUGGUUGUCCCAGAACCAAUUCAAUUCAAUUAUACCAGCAAGUUUGUUCCACCUUGACAAAGUUACAUCCCUAGCUCUUUCUAUGAAUUUCUUUUCUGGUCCACUACCAAGUGACGUUGGUGGGUUGAAACAAGUGUUUAUGAUUGACCUUUCUUUCAACUUUUUGCUUGGAAGCAUCCCCGAAUCAUUUAGGAAACUAAGCAUGCUCGCCUAUCUAAAUCUAUCACACAAUUCAUUUGAGGACUCUAUCCCCGUGUCAUUUAAAGAGCUGAGUAGCCUCGAGUGGUUGGACCUCUCCUCCAAUAAUCUCUCAGGUACCAUUCCCAUGUUCCUAGCCAAUUUAACCUUCUUGAAAACCUUGAAUCUCCCCUUUAAUAAUCUACAAGGCAAGGUACCAGAGGGUGGUGUUUUCUCUAACAUCUCGUUGCAAUCUUUGGUUGGGAAUAUUGGGUUUUCUGCAAACCCCGUUUAGGAUUCUCUCCAUGUAUGGAGAAACCUCACUCAAAUACGAUGCACUUUCUAAGAUUCCUGCUCCCUUCUCUCACCAUAGCAUUUGGUUGUACUGUGAUUUUCAUUUACCAAACCAUUAGAAAGAAACUUAAAAACAAGGGAGAGGUUGAAGAUUCUGGCAUUGAUCCUAGCAAUGUUAUGUACCAUGGGCACCUGUCAUACCAUGACCUCGUCCUUGCCACCGGUAAUUUUAGCGACGACAACCUGUUGGGGACUGGGAGCUUUGGAAAGGUCUAUAAAGGUCAACUUAGCACCAGUUUCACGGUGGCAGUAAAAGUUCUAGACAUGCAGAAGGAGCAGGGCAUUAGAAGCUUUGAUGCUGAGUGCAGCACACUUCGCAUGGCUCGGCAUAGGAACUUUAUAUAGAUAUUGAAUGUCUGCACCAACUUGGAGUUCAGGGCAUUGGUGCUUCAGUAUAUGCCCAGUGGAAGCUUAGAGAUGCUCUUACACUCUAACAGCAUAGAGCACUUAGGGUUCCUUAAGAGGCUGGACGUCAUGCUAGAUGUGUCAAUGGCAAUGGAGUAUCUACACCAUGAGCAUCACAAGGUAGUCCUGCACUGCGACUUGAAGCCUAGCAACAUGCUAUUUGAUGAAGACAUGACGACACAUGUAGCGGACUUUGGAAUCGCAAAGUUGCUAUUGGGUGAUGACAACUCCAUGAUAACUGCAAGCAUGCUUGGAACACUUGGGUACAUGGCACCAGGUACGUCCAUACUCCGUACUGUGACACUGAAUUUUGUUUGGUAUAUAUAUUUGGUUAACAGUGCUGAUUCAGUCCUGCUUGAAUUCUUUGUUUCCGGUCUCAUGAGUAGAGUAUGGAUCUUACGGGAAGGCAUCACGCAAGAGCGAUGUUUUCAGUUAUGGAAUCAUGCUCCUUGAAGUUUUCACUGGAAAGAGACCCACAGAUCCCAUGUUCGUCGCAGAUUUGAGCAUUACACGGUGGGUUCGUCAAGCAUUUCCAGCUCAGCUUGCCUCUGUUCUGGAUGACCGGCUAUUGCAAGGUGUUUCUUCCUCUGUCGGCAAUCUGAAUGACUUUCUUACGGCAACAUUUGAGCUGGGUUUGAUUUGCUUAAGUGACUCACCUGACCAGAGGAUGUCAAUGAGAGAUGUCACGGUGGCACUGAAGAAGAUUCACUACUAGAAAAAUGACCUUUCAUCCCUAGCCUUAGUACCAGUUGCAUUUGGAACCGGUACUAUAUUAGUACCGGUUCCAAAGGAUACUGCCUGUAGCGCAUUGCGAGGACCCCUUGACAACAAAUCGGCAAUUGAUCUUUGUAGGAAUCUUGUUCAUCAUGAUAGAAGCAAGCAUAUUGAGACCAAAUACCACUACAUCAGAGAUUGUGUGGAAAAGGGCAAUAUUGUGGUGGAACGGAUCUCUACGAAAAAUCAGUUGGCAGAUGUACUGACGAAACCAUUUGGGCGGGCUCUGUUCCAAGAGCAGCGUUGUAAGAUCGGGGUCGUCAAGCUCAAACUCCAGCAGCAGGAUUAGGAGGAGAAAUGUUGCAUGUAAUCCUCCAUCUGCUGUUCGUUUCUUUCGUUGAAUAAGCUCGCCACGUUCAUGGGUUGAGCGAGUCUCUAGGGAGCCUGACAUGCGCGCUGUUCGUAUGGGGCGCGUCAAUAGGAGUGCGUUGUGGGCGUGGGGGAUGGUGCACGCCAUGAGCGGCUCACCGUUCUUGUAGGAGGUUGUUACACUUUAUAUAUGAAAUACACAGAGAAAACGCUGCCGGUUAAGCAGCCCAAAAGAUAACCUGUGAUCACUGUGCAUCUUCCUCCUCGCGUGCGUGUGUGUAGGUUUGACUUCAAUCUGCCGGAGUGCACAACUGCCAGGCGACGGAGCUCGCCGGAGUUGCUGACAGCGGGCAGCCUCUCCAGUGGCGGCCGCUCUUGGGCAGGUGGAGCGGCAUCUCGCUGGUGGGCGUCCGCUCCAGCAGCAGAGGCGCAUGAGCAGGUGGUGGUAGGGACUCCGCGGCGGCGACUCGCGAGCGGGCGGACGCUUUGGCGGCGGGUGCUCACGCACGGGUGGAGCGGCGACUCGCGGGAGGCCGGCCGCUCCGGCAGUGGAGGCGGGUGGCAGCUCCGGCCCGACCCUUCCUCUGUACCGCCACUGCAACGAUGGAGCCACAGGCCCCGCCCUCCGCGCUGCAGCGAAGGCAGAGUACGGUGACGCAGGCGGUGGUGAAACAAGGUGGAGAGGAGGAGAGGGGGCGCACCUCGCCGCGGCCAGCCGGGUGAGCUCGAGCUCCGCCGUUGGCCAGCUACGCCGGGUGAGCGAGUUGGGCCAACGCGGCCGGCCGGGCGAGCUGGAUCUCCGCAGGGCAUGAAGACAGGAGAGAGAAGAAAGAAUAAGCAGAGAGGAGAGAGAAAAAUGACCUAACGAAACUACCCUUCAAAACCUUCAAAACCUGUGAAUGGCCAAAAUGUAAACGGUUUUAGUAGCACGAUGGUCGAAGAUUUUGGAGUUGGAUGGUGAAAAUCAAACUCAGGUGAUAGUUCAAUGGUCAAAAAUGAACUUCCUCAUUAUUAUUUUCCAGCAAUAGAAAAAGUAUCCUGUACGAAGAGAAUGGAAACAGAGAGCCUUUAUGUAUCAGAAAUAAGUGAAGAUACUUGACUUGCUGAAAUUAAAUCAAAUAGGAAGUACAUAAGUUUUACAAGAAAACUUGAAUGCUGGAUUUAGAAAAAUAUACAUGCAGCUGCCGGAGGUUUGUGAGGUGCUGUAUAUACAUGCAGGUAAAGACUUAGAUGCUAUCACAGCCCUUGAUGACGAGCUUUUUAAGAGAGGAGAUGUCGCUCAGCCAUUCUGGCAGUGCUGAUAUGCUGUGACAACAAUUCAACUCGAGUGAUUGAAGGGAGCUAGUUGCUGUAUGCCCUCCGGCAAGCUCGUCAGAUUUAAACAACAGGAGAAUUCCAACUCCUGAAGGGCAGGAAGUGGUGAAACAGCCUGAAACUCACUAGGACAGAAAAUAUUUUUGCUGGCGGGUGAAAGGACACUGCGCCCAUCAACAACUUUGAACUAGCACAAAUGGCCCACUGUGCUGACAGGUGCUCGUUCGCCAGCACAGUUUGAUUUUUCAAUUAAAAAAAGCCGUCAGGUCGCCGCUGCCUGCACUACGGGAAACUUUAAAUUUGCCGAGUGUUUUCUUUUUGCCGAGUGUUUUUUUUCGGACACUCGGCAAACAAGCUCUUCGCCGAGUGCCAAGCCAAAAACACUCGGCAAAAAAAAACACUCGGCAAAUAGUGGCUUUGCCGAGUGUCAAAUAAAAAACACUCGGCAAAGCCCCCUCUUUGCCGAGUGUCAAAAAAAACACUCAGCAAAGAGGGGGGUUUGCCGAGUGUCAAAAAAAAACACUCGGCAAAGAGGGGGGUUUGCCUAGUGUUUUUUUUGACACUCGGCAAAAAAAUAAUUUUUUUUUCUCUUUUCACCUUGAAAUUUUUUCUACUCCCCACAUACAACAUGUGGUACUCCAUGUUAAAAUUUGGUAUAUUUUUGAAUUUAUUUGCUAUAUUUAUUUAAUUAAUUGUAUUUCAAGGGAAUUUUUGGUAUAAGUAAAAUUUGAACUGCAAGUGAUUCAAAUUAUGGAAUAAAAUGAGUAGAAAAAUGAUAUUCAUGUUAUUUGGACCAAUUUGAGACCUGACCCAUGAAAUGAAAAGAAAUUUCGAACAUCUUGUUCAGGAAACACGACCAUGAACGUGUGGCAGUAGUAUUUUUAAAUUGUAAAAAAAACAAUCAAAGUCUGAAAAUUAUGAGAUUUGCCAUGAUGUGAUGAUAUAAUACGUGGAGGCUGUGGAAAAAAAUUGAGAAGGUUUUGCACAUUUCAUCAUGUACGAUAAUUAUAAACCGAAGCAUCUCAGAAGAAGAAUAGUAACUUUGAGAAGGAUUCGAUAAAAUUUAGAGUCGAAGUGACGGUCGAGUUCGGUUUGACUACCAAACUUUUUGUAUAGUCAGUAGAGAACCUAUAUUGGUCCGUGUGAAAAUUUGGUAUUUUUUUGAAACUGUUGAAUAUUUUAUAAAUUUUUUUCAAAAAAAGUUUGCCGAGUGUCCUACGUUGGACACUCGGCAAAGAGUUUGCCGAGUGUCCAACGUAGGACACUCGGCAAACAGCUCCCACCACAAAACAAAUAGCCGCCCCCCCCGGGCCCCCUCCCCACUCUCUAUCUUCCUCGGCCCCCUCCCGGCCCCCAUUCUCCUCUUGCCGCACGCCGCCCUCCGCCGCCGCCGCCGCCGCACGCCUCCGCCGCCGCCGCCGCCGCCCGCCUCCGCCGCUGCCGGCUCCCCUCCCUUGCCUAGCGCGCCCCCUCCCCUCCCCUCACUCCAUCCUCUCUCCCUCCUCUCUCCCCGAAGGCCCCUGCCGCCGCGCGCCGCCCGGCGCCCCCCGCCGCCGCCGCCCGGCGGCCCCGGCACCGCCGCCCGCCGCCCCGCGCUCCCGGAUCCGCCGCCGCCCGCCGCCCCGGGCCCCGGAUCCGCCGCCCCGGCCCCCGGAUCCGCCGCCGCCGCCCGGAUCCGCCCGCCGCCCCGGCCCCCGGAUCCGCCCGCCGCCCCGGCCCCCGGAUCCGCCCGCCGCCCCGGCCCCCGGAUCCGCCGCCGCCGCCCGGAUCCGCCGCCGCCGCCCCGGCCCCCGGAUCCGCCGCCGCCGCCCGGAUCCGCCGCCGCCGCCCCGGCCCCCGGAUCCGCCCGCCGCCCCCCCCGGCGCCCGGCCCCCGGCCCCCGGAUCCGCCGCCCGCCUGUCCCCUCCACCGGAUCCGCCGGCGCCGGGGCCUGAAGAGAAGAGGAGAGGAUGGUGGCGGCGGCGGCGGCGGCGGCGGAGCAGUGGCGCCCGUGUAUGAUUUUUUUUUUAUUUUUUCAAUAAUUGUUCGCUGAGUGUUUUCUGGGCACUCGGCAAAGUCUUUGCCGAGUGCCCGACACAAAACACUCGGCGAACUAGUGUUUGCCGACUCUAUAUUUGCCGUGUGCCGUUUGCCGAGUGUUACACUCGGCAAACGGUUCGCCGAGGGUAUUCUGCCCUUCGCCGAGUGCCAGGGGCACUCGGCAAUUUGACUGUGUCCGGUAGUGCUGCCGCUCGAUGGGGAACACGUACGGCGGCGGCUGUAGGUACACCCGACCUCACCACCUAACCCGAAGUCAUCGGCGCCGCGCUGUAGAACCUGCCGAACUCGGCGGCGGUAGCUGUAGGUAACUUAGCCUCGCCGCCUAACCUGACGUCAUUGGCACCGGCGCUGUAGAACUCGCUGAACUUGGCGGUGGUGGCGGCGUCGCUGCUGCCACCACCAUAGACCGAGUCGCUGCAAUCGAGGAGCAGGCGCGCCCUCUUCGUGACCUCCCCUCCGACGCAGUUCUCCUCCGGACCUGAGGCGAAUCCGAUGCCGCUUCUCACGUCGGAGGCCCCGGAGGAGAUGAGGCGGCACGGGACCCAUGGGUCACCGAUGACCUUGAUGAGGAAGGUGAGCAUCUGCUUUGUCCUCGAUGGCGCGCUGCUCCCACUUCAGCCAGACCACCUCCAGGCAACCACAUCCUCGUCCACAGUCCCGGUGUCGCCACCGCCACCGCAGGCAUCAUCCUUGCGCUUGCCGCCACCACCGAAGCCGCCCGCAGCUGUUGCCGCCUCCGCAGCCGCGCCUACCGCCGCUCCCGCGGCCCGCCGAGGCUGCCACCCGCUGAAGGUCCUGCCUCCCCCAGCCGCUGCCCCCACAUCCACCACGCCCUAGUGGACGCUGCUCCCCCAUCGCUCCUGUGCAUCGCCGGUCGUGCCUCCCACCCACCUGUGUGAACAGAUAAGGAGAGAGAGAGGAGAAGAAAAAAUACCUCUAAGGAAGUGACGAACGGACCUUCAAUCUCCCCUCCCCUCCUCCCUCCCUCCCUUUCACUAGUAGAGAACUACCUUCCAUCCACCCGUUUUAUCUUGGUUGAUAUUUGGCCCGUAACUAAAGGUUCACGAACCAGGACUAAAACUCAGCCACUGGCGGAGGGCUCACCAACCAGGACUAAAGAGCCCCUUUAGUCCCGGUUGUAAAGGCCAGUGGCCCUGAGGGACCUUUUGUCCUGGUUGGAAACACCAACCAAGUCUAAAGGCCCCUCUUUAGUUCUGGUCGGUAAUUCCAACCAGGACUAAUGUUUCCCUUCUUCUUCUCCCUCCCUUCCUUCUUCUCUCCCUCCCUCUCUUCCUCUUCUCUCGCUGCAGCUAUGGCUCUCGAUCUAACUCUAGCUCGCUCGACGCAUGCAGAAAUGAAAUGGGCGAGCAUCCGGGGUGGAAGCGCCUCUAAAUUCAAACGACGCCGUCUGCGUUCCGCCAAAUCACCCGGUGGAAGCACCUCGACCCCCGCGCCACUGAAUUCUGUUACCACCGUUUCAAUCAACGGUCCACCUUUACCGCCGUUUCAAGCGGCGCCACAGGUCUAUUUAUGCAAAUUUUUCGUUCGACUAUUUAUUUCUGCAAAAUCAUAAAAUAAAUAAUAUAAAAAUAAAAAAAAAUUGAUAUGACCGAGAACUUGUUUAGAACUUGAACACCUUCCCUGCCAAUUCGAAAAUCCAAAGCCCAUCAAAGAUCAUACGUUGCAGCCCAGUUAUUUCCCAAUAGGUGGUAGUCGGCAGCCCAAUAGGCCCAAACGACCAAUAAACUAUUUCUUCUCAUCCCUCCGACUCCUGCCUGUGUCUCCCGAUGCCGACGGUGCGACGAACCCUAGCCACGCCUAACCGUAGCAUUGAGAUAGCAGGGAGAGGAGGCUGGGCAGGCAAGCGACCCAGCUCAUAAAGCAGGAUUGGAGUCGGCAACUGAAGUCGGUUGUUAUGGCCCAAGGCCAAGGUAAGUUCUGCCCCAACUAAUUAAAAUCUUGGGUACGUAUUAGUAGAGAUAGAGAAAAGAUGAAGAAUUGUUAUGCAGUUGACAAGGACUGUUGCAGCUCGUCCAAGGCUUUCGGGUACCUAUUGCUGCAUCCCCAACGGAGGCCGACCUGAAGAAGUUCAAAGUAUCAGCGUCACCUCCACCUUGCACACCGAUGUUAGUGCCCUAGCAGGAUCCUUCCGGUGGUGGGUGAUCCUUGGGUAGCUGCUCCUAUAUUGAGGAUUGGCUCUGGCCCCCUCAUCUACAACCUGCUUGACCUCAGGAUUGACCAUGGCUAGGUUCAUCAUAUUGCAGCACUGGAAUUGGCACAACUUCUCCGGUGCGACCUUCUUUAUUAGCUCUGGCCUCCGGACGCGACAACUGUUCCAUCGUGCAACCGCUUAUCGCCUCGGUCUGGGCUAAACACUUAGUCAGCUACGCACCAGAUUGAUCAUCAAGCACGACAGUCCUGCAUUGUUGGUGCAAGUUAUCAUUCAAGCAAAAUAGGAGGUAACAGUAACUACAAGACAGCCAGCAUAAGAAAAUUGCAUUUACAAGGUGUUCUUCUUCACUCUGAAUUUGGGGCGCAAUGGUGGUGACGGUGCUGGUGUAUCCCCACUGGAUCCUCCGUGGAUCUGCACCUUCAACACCUCCUUGACACGCUCCGUGUCAUCCACAGUGGUCUCAAGGAGUUCCAACUUCUUUUUCCUAGCGACCGGGCUCGGCGUGUCGGACUUCUCAUCCGCCUCGCUUGCCAACGUGGCCGUGGAUGCUGUGCUCGGGGCUGCAUUCUCCUUCUUGCUAGCCAUCUUCUUCCUCUUCCCGCUCGGCUGCUGCAACUUGGAGGCGGUCUUCUUGCGCACGUCUUGCCGUGUCUACCGUCCAACCGGUGCAGUGUCUGUGGCCUAGCCAACCCCUUCCAGCACGUUCUCAUCUGAUCCAAUGGAGGAGUCAAGACUCCCACUGAAGGUUGGCAGGCAGAUCGUUGGGCUUGUCAGUCGAGCUGAGCUUGGGUCGCUGCGGCUCACCCCUCUAGGAAGUGGCGCUGGGCAAAAGAAUAUAAAUUUGUUGUCUGCGUCAAUUCACAAGCAUAUUUAGAAACAACUCACAAGCACAUACAGUAGCCCAAAUCAAUGCCAUUGACAAUCUUACCGGGUUGGCUGGCAUCCUCUUCAACAAAUAAGCCUUGGGGCAGCUCUUAUUUUUGAUAACGCCCCCAAAGAACUUGGACACCUGGUUGACAAUUUCUUCUUUGGGCACCUUCCACUAGUCCUCCUGGGUCAGGUCCUGUAGCCCUCCGUACUCAUACGCCAGAUGCACUUGGUGCUUGAUUGGUUGAGUCAAUCUACGAUAAAAGUUAUGCUAACCGCUCCGGCUAUUAGCCCACACGACUUCAGAUCAGCAAUCCUCGCCAGCAAUUCCUUCACCUGGACUUGUUCCUCCGAGGUUGGCUGGUUUGACCAGUCGGGCAUGACCACUGGCCCAUAUCUAGUGCGCGGCCGGAGCUCAGGCUAUUGAUUGGCGAUGGUGAACCACUCUUUGUGCCAGCCCUUGUUGGAAUCCUUCAACUGGAGGUCGAAGUACUCCUGGACUUUCUUCGGCCACAGAGAGAAACUACAACCCCUGAUGACUCGGAGCUGUUUCCCCUUGGUUGCAACAAUAUUCAUGUGGUACAAUUACCUCAACAUAUUGAAAUGUGGGGGAUGCCCAGAUACGCCUCGCACGAAUGGAUAAACACCACAAUAUCUAAAAUCGAGUUGGGGUUCAGAUGUACCAGCUUGAUCUUGUAGUCGUGCAGAAGACCUCAGAAGAAGUCUCUGCACGGGAUGCCGAACUCGCGCUUGAAGAACGAUGCGAAGACCACCAUCUCCAUCGUUUCCUCCGAUGGGAAAUCUUGGCCGGCGGUGGGCUCCCAAGCCAACAACUCUUGAGGUUUGAGGAGGCCCCGAUCGACGAGCUUCGCUAUGAUGACCUAAGUUCUUGUUCACCUACACAUCACUCGGGUGCUUGAUGGAUAUGGGUACCCCAUGGGUCCCUACCGACAAGGAUACUGGCCGGACCUUACAAGUGGGCCUGUCUGACCAGGGCAUGCAGGCUAAGGACAUGAAGAUACUUGGAAUACAAAACAAGGUAGCCGGAUAGUUCAAAUUUGCCCAGAUAUUGUAGGGCAUGUAUUCUAUUCCAACUCAUAUUACUUUCCAUGUAACAACCGAGUAGAUUAGAUCAAAACUGACUUGUAACUCUAGGUCAUCAGCCUAUAUAAGGCGUCGAGGGGUGCCUCCCGAGGGCAUCAAAUCUCUCAAGCAAUACAAACCACCAAUCAUAUAGGACAUAGGGUACUACUCUCCGGAGGUCCGAACUUGUCUAAAACCCUCGUGUCCCUUGUGUUCUUGCGAUCACUUUCAAGUUCUUAGUUUUGCAAUCGCUUCCAUCUACAAAUCAACCACUUAGGUAAACCCCUGGUGGACUGCCGGAUUUAUAAAUCCAACAAUCGGCAUGAAUGCAACACACAUAGAAUAAAACUAUCUAAUUUACCUAUACUACAUUUCCUGUCAAGAAAAUAAAUGUUGGAAAAAAUUUAAAAUUAUAUGAAAAUUAUUGUUUAACUGUUCUUUCUAAUCACAUACUGAAAUCCAAAAAUUUCAGGGUGUUACUAUAAUCAACCUUGUAAAUACCUACGUAUGGAAUUAUCAACAAAUUAAUACAGCUUCAAGUACUAAGUACAGUAAAGGAAAAGUAAAUUGCAGAACUAUAAGUCAAAUAAAAUUCAGGUAAACGCGUGAGGCCUGACCAAGUCGUGGUAAACACCGUAGCCCACUAUUUGAAUACCAUGAUUGUAUUCACGUCCUAGCUAGCAAUACCUAUUGGUCGUACUCCCUCCGUCCCAGGAUAUAGCUAUGUUUAGACUUUCAAAUAUCAAGAUAAUCAUAGAGACUAUACAUAAAAAUGAUUAUGGAGCAAUUACGUAUAUAUACUCACAACAUUAUACGUCGUUGCGUGAAUGAUGGACAAAUAAUGAUUGUUCAUUGUCCAUUAUUGUACUCUAGUAAUAGUAUAAUAUUAGUAGUAUAUAUCUUUGUCGGUAAGCAGCAGGUCUUACAAUUCAACUUGAUCAGAUCAAGUUAGGUCACUUUCAUAUAUAUUCCAAAACAUAGGUCCUUUUCAUUUUUUAGAUACAUAGAUUUUGCUAUGCAUCUAAAUAUAGAGUUAUGUCUAGAUACAUAACAAAAUUCAUGUAUCCAGAAAAGUCAAAAUAACCUACAUUUUAAAAUGAAGGGAGCGUAUACUUGUUUUUGGCAGUUGUAUUUACAUAUGUCCACGUAUGUCUUCGCCUGAUUUGGUGCUCAAGUGGGCUUAAUUAUUAACUCUUGAACCACCAAGCUGAUGAACUGAUGACUACAUUACAUACGUGUUAUUCCUACCCGUAUGAUCGUACUACGCCUCAUUUAAUGUGAAAUAGUUCCUCCAUAAGUUUCUUUUAAUCCAAAUUCAAUGAAAUAGAUGCCAAUGACCACAUCAUUUUAUAGUGUACCAAAAAACUGCACACUUGCAGCUUCUUCCCCAAGUGGAAUAUGGAAAAGGUCACCAUAUAUAGCUACGAAACACUAGUAGGGUCAGCAAAUUAAAGCAAUGCAAUCGAAUGCUCAUGUGUUAUGAUUCCUUCUACUACUUGUUUAAGACUCCAUGACACUGAAGAUAAUUUUAGGAUGUUCAUUCCAUAUAUAUCCACUUGCCACUUUAGCACAAUCUGCAUGACCUUUGACCUAAUCAUGCGACAGAAUGAUCACUUUAUAGCACCAAACUGAAAUUUGAUACAUUAACCUCACAGAAGUCAACGUCUAAUCCUGAGACUGAGUCGACUUAAUCUUUAAAUACCACCGCACCAGUACUGCAUCAAUACCGGUUCAAACGUCUCAAGCCAGACAAUAAUCUUUAAGUACUGCAUCAAGGCUUUAUUUUGUUUUGGUAGGAUAAUAUAUCUUCCCUGAAAAGGUCGAGUGUGCUAAUAUAUGUCAAUCUUCCAAACCUCGCAACGUUAACGAUCCAGCAUUUUGGAAUAAAAACACUCGGCAAAUCGGGACUUUACCGAGUGUCAAAUAAAAAACACUCGGCAGAGCCCCCUCUUUGCCGAGUGUCAAAAAAAACACUCGGCAAAGAGGAGAGUUUGCCGAGUGUCAAAAAAGACACUCGGCAAAGAGGGGGGUUUGCCGAGUGUUUUUUUGACACUCGGCAAAAAAAUAAUUUUUUUCCUCUUUUCAUCACGAAAUUUUUUCUACUCCCCACAUACAACAUGUGGUACUCCAUGUUAAAAUUUGGUAUAUUUUUGGAUUUAUUUGCUAUAUUUAUUUAAUUAAUUGCAUUUCAAGGAAAUUUUUGGUAUAAGUCAAAUUUGAACUGCAAGUGAUUCAAAUUAUGGAACAAAAUGAGUAGAAAAAUGAUAUUCAUGUUAUUUGGCCCAAUUUGAGACCUGACCCAUGAAAUGAAAAGAAAUUUCGAACAUCUUGUUCAAGAAACACGACCAUGAACGUGUGUCAGUAGUAUUUUUAAAUUGUAAAAAAACAAGCAAAGUCUGAAAAUCAUGAGAUUUGUCAUGAUGUGAUGAUAUAAUACGUGGACGCUAUGGAAAAAAAUUGAGAAGGUUUUGCACAUUUCAUCAUGUACAAUGAUUACAAACUGAAGCAUCUCAGAAGAAGAAUAGUAAUUUUAAGAAGAUUCGAUAAGAUUUAGAGUCGAAGUGACGGUCGAGUUUGGUUUGACUACAAAACUUUUUGUAUAGGCAAUAGAGAACAUAUAUUGAUUCGUGUGAAAAUUUGGUAUUUUUUUUGAGACGGUUAGAUAUUUUUUAAAUUUUUUUCUAAAAAAAUUUGCCGAGUGUCCUAUGGUGGACACUCGGCAAAUAAACCGUUUACCGAGUGUCCACGUAGGACACUCGGCAAACAGACGGCCCACAAAAUAAAUUAACCUCCCCCAGCCGGCCCCCUCCCCCAACUCCCUAUCUUCUCCUCCUGCCGCCUCCUGCCGCUCCCUGCCCCCUCCCAGCCCACGCCUCCUGCCGCCGCCGCCGCCGCAUGCCAUCUCCCUCCCCCGGCCCCCUCCCCUCCCUCUCCUCCGGCAGACGCCAUCUCCCUCCCCUGGCCCCCUCCCCUAACGCCCCCGGCCCCGCCGCCCGGCGCCCCCCGGCCCGGCGCCCGGCGCCCUCCGCCCGCCGCCCCGCCGCCCGCCGCCCAGCCCCCGGCCCCGCCGCCCGGCGCCCAACCCCGCCCGCCGCCGCCCCCUUCGGAUCUGGCCGCCGCCGCCCCCUUCUUCCCCUUCCCUGGCUCCCUCCCCUCCGGCCGGAUCCGCGCCCCCUUCUUCCCCUCCAGCGCGGAUCCGGCGGCCCCCACCUCUCUCCCCUCCGGAUCUGGCGCGUGGUGGCGGGCGGCAGCGGCGUGGCGGCAGCGGGCGUGGCGGUAGCAGGUGUGGCGGCGGCGGGCGGCAGCGGCGUGGCGGCGGCGGGCGGCAGCGGGCGUGGCGGCAGCGGCUGGCGGCAGUGGGCGGCAGCGACGGGCGGCAGCGGCGUGGUGGCGGGCGGCAGCGGGCGUGGCGGCAGCAGGCAGCGUGGUGGCCGUGGCCGUGGAUGGCCUGGGCGUGGCGGCGGCGGCGGCGGCCAGCUGGAGCUGCCCCCGGUGGCCGGGGUAUGUUUUUUUUUAUUUUUUUCUGGAAAUAGUUUGCCGAGUGUUUUGUGCCACUCGGCACACCCUUUGCCGAGUGCCCGACCAAAGACACUCGGCAAAGUUAACUUUGCCGAGUAAAACUUUGCCGUGUGCUCGUCGCCGAGUGUUACACUCGGCAAACAAGUUGCCGAGUGUUUUUAGGGUUUCGCCGAGUGCCUGGGGCACUCGGCAAUUUGUAGCUUUCCCGUAGUGGUACCUCUAUGACUACACCGUGUGGGCUGUGUUCCUGCUUCUGCUCCUCAGCAGCACGGAUAGCCUCACGGCUUGCCGCCUCAAUGACAUUGACAGCUGGAAGAGCAUCUACGUCAAACAACUCUUUAAGGGGUUCUUGCUGGUGUAUAUCAUUCUAAAGUUUGGAUAUUACAUCGAGAAGGAUGUGGAUGCGGACCACCUGUGGUAUCCGCUCUCAGCCAUCGUAUUUCUUAUUGUCAUCAAGUAAUAUGUGAUGAUAGCUUCCAUGAGGAUGGUGAGCAAGUCCUACCUCGGCAAGAACGUGAAGGUGGUCGCCGAUUACAUGCAGUAUAUAGACAACAAGCUGGUGACCUUUGAUCCUGUGACCAUGGAAGGAUACCGGUACAUGGUCGCUGGUGAGAAACACUGUGUCAACCGGCCUGGACACACACCAUGGUACAAGAAGCCGGACGACUUGAAGGUUACCACCGUGGAGCAGAUCUAGCAGUGCGAGGGGAAUCUGCUCAUUGGUGAUCAGGGCAAGGUGCUAAAGGACUUGUGCCUCUCUAUGGCUCUCUCCAAGAUGCUCAACCGAAGGUUUGCUGGCUUCAAGCUCUCAGAGGCAGAGCUUGAGAAAACCCAUGACUUCGUAUUCAAAGGCCUGCUCGCCGGGGACGAGCAGCGGGCCUUCAGGGUCAUUGAGGAAGAACUUGUUUUUCACCAUGACAUGUAUUACACAAGGUACUCUUACCUCUACCAAAAGGGUCGAUACCUGGCUCUCUGUCUGCCUGUCAUCAUGUCUGCCCUAUGCUCGUGGCUCACAGUGACCAGCCUGCUCGACAGGCGCAAAAACCCCUAUCAAAAAUCCUCCUUAUUCGCAAAAGGCGAACUGGGUUACCCCACCAUAGUCACAACUGUUAGGAACGAACGGCGUAUGGAAUAUGAAGUAAAGAAUCAAACCGCAAGAAGACACACGAUUUACGUGGAAAACCCCUCCAAUGUGAAAGGGAAAAACCACGGGCACCAGCCGGCAAUAAUCUCACUAUAUCAAGAGUUUGGGGCUACACGCCUAUGGCGGCUUACAAGAGAAUUUCUCUCUUCUGUUGUUCUUCUGUCUAUCCCACGAAACCCUAGCAAGGGUGUCGGUAUAUAUAUAGUACCGAAAACCCCAGACAGGGGGUAUUGAGCGGUACGGACUCUUGAUCCCGUACGAGGAUGGAACUCCUCCUCGUCCGACCUUGAGUCCUUCGUCCUGGAGUCGGAUGCGCCUGGGACUCCGUCUCGCCCGACCUCAAGCCUGGGGUCGGAUGCGCCUGACCCCUUGAGGGUCGAUCUCCGAUUCGCCCGACCCCGAGUCUGGGGUCGGGAGAUGCUCCGACUCGCCCGACCCCAAAGUCCAGGGGUCGGAAGACGCUCCGCCUCGCCCGGCCCCGAGUCCUGGGGUCGGGAGAUUCUCCGCCUCGCCCGACCCUGAGUGUUAAGGGUCGGGAAGGUCGGCCUUUAUCCUGGAGUGAAUUUGGAACAACUCCAACAAACUCCACCUUGAGACAAAUUCAUCUUGUAUCAUCAACCCUUCAUCCUGAACAGGACAAAGACAAGAAAAAACCACUGGUGCCAACAAUAGUCUCUUGGACUAUCCAAUUAAACCAACUAAGCCUGAGCACAGCUCAAACUUAGUAACAGGAACAGGCUUUGUCAUCAUAUCAGCAGGAUUAUCAUGAGUACUGAUCUUGCAUACCUUCAGCUUACCUUCUUCAAUCACAUCACGCACAAAAUGAUACUUGAUAUCAAUGUGCUUAGUUCUUUCAUGGAACAUUUGAUCUUUAGUGAGGUAAAUUGCACUUUGACUGUCACAGUGCAAACUUAUGCAAGAUUCAACUCCACAAAGCUCGGCGUACAAACCUUUCAGCCAAAUCAAUUCUUUGCAUGCUUCACAAAUCGCCAUAUAUUCUGCUUCAGUAGUAGACAAAGCAACAACCGACUGUAAAGUAGCCUUCCAACUCACAGCACAACUGCCAACAGUAAACACAUAGCCUGUGAGUGAUCUUCGCCUGUCCAGAUCAGCAGCAUAAUCUGAGUCCACAUAGCCAACAAGACCCUCAUCAGUUCUUCCAAACUUUAAACAGGAAUUUGCUGUGCCUUUGAGGUAUCUGAAAAUCCAUUGAACUGCCCUCCAAUGUUCUUUGCCGGGAUUAGACAUAUAUCUACUAACAAGACUCAUAGCAUAUGACAAAUCUGGGCGAGAGCAAACCAUGGCAUACAUCAAGGAUCCAACAGCACUAGAAUAAGGAAUCUUUGACAUGUCUUUGACCUCUGCAUCUGUACUAGGACACUGAGCAGCUGACAACUUGAAGUGAGGUGCAAUAGGAGUACUUACAGCCUUAGCAUCUGGCAUGUUGAAACGCUGAAGAACUUUCUUGAUAUAAUUCUGUUGACUAAGAAAUAGCAAACCAGAUUUUCGGUCUCUUCUAAUUUCCAUACCAAGAAUUUUCUUAGCACUACCAAGAUCUUUCAUAUCAAAACCACUACUCAAUAGCUUCUUUAACUUAUUGAUUUCAUUCUUACUCUUGGCAGCAAUCAGCAUAUCAUCAACAUAUAUCAGCAAGUAUAUAGGUGAUCCAUUAACAUGCUUGAUAUAAACACAGCUAUCAUACUUAGAUCUUUUAAAACUGUGUGAUAACAUAAAUGAAUCAAACCUCUUGUUCCACUGUCGAGGGGACUGUUUCAAACCAUACAAGGAUCUCUUCAACUUGCACACAUAUUUCUCCUUGCCAGGCACUAUGAAACCUUCUGGUUGGUCCAUGUAUAUGUCCUCCUCAAGCUCUCCAUGCAAAAACGCAGUCUUCACAUCUAAUUGUUCAAGCUCAAGAUCAUGUGAAGCAACAACACUAAGAAAAGUGCGAAUUGAACUGUGUUUUACCACUGGAGAGAAAACAUCAUUGUAGUCAACACCCGGAAUUUGGCUGUAGCCUUUAGCAACUAACCUUGCCUUAUACUUUGGAGGCUCUCUUGGAGAUAAACCCUCCUUUCUCUUGAAGAUCCACUUGCAGCGGAUGGCCUUCUUAUUCUUAGGCAAAGGUACAAGUUCCCAUGUACUGUUCUUCUCAAGAGAUUGCAUCUCCUCAUGCAUGGCCGAAAUCCAAUUUUCAGUAUCGCCACAAUGAAUAGCUUCUUUAUAGGUUGCUGGCUCAUGAACAUUCUCCACCUGUUCAGCACAACUCAAAGCAUGGUAAGACAAAUUACACUCUUCAAUGAGACGGUUAGGAGGAGCAACUGUCCGUUUGGACUUUCGUUGAGCAAUGGGUAGAUCCUCCUCUAGAGUUUGCUGGACAUCAUCAUGAGCAUCAGCCGACCCCGAGCCUGAGGGGUCUGGCGCAUCAGCAACAGCCGACCCCGGAGCCAAGGGGUCUGGCGCCUUAGCAUCAGCCGACCCCGGAGCCAAGGGGUCUGGCGCAUCCGACCCCGAGACCAAGGGGUCGGGGUUAUCAGCAUCAUCACGAGCGUUCUCCACCUGCAUGCGCAUACGCUGCAGUUCUUUGUCUGGAACUUGAUCUGAGGGCAAGCUGUCAAUAAACAUCACAGAUUCAUUGAAAAUAACACUUCUGCUCAUAAAGGUCUUUCCUGUUUCCGGGUUCCACAAUUUAUAGCCUUUGACACCCGAACCAUAACCAAAGAAAAGACAUUUAACAGCUCUAGGCUCUAAUUUUCCAUUAUCAACAUGAGCAUAUGCAGUGCAUCCAAAAACUUUCAACUGUGAGUAAUCAGCAGGCGUACCAGACCAUACCUCAAUGGGAGUUCUUUUAUUUAGUGGAAUAGAAGGCGACCUGUUGAUCAAGUAACAGGCAGUAUUAGCAGCUUCAGCCCAAAAACGCUUGCUCAUCCUGGCAUUAGACAGCAUGCACCGGGCCUUGGAUAUGAUGGAUCUGUUCAUGCGUUCAGCCACACCAUUCUGUUGUGGAGUAUGGGGUAUGGUGUGAUGCCUUACAAUGCCUUCUGAUCUGCAAUAAUCAUUAAAUUCACGCGAACAAAAUUCUCCACCAUUAUCAGUACGAAGCAAUUUCACCUUCCUUUCAGUUUGCCUUUCAAUCAUGACUUUCCAGUCCUUAAAAGCAGCAAAGGUAUCAUCUUUCUGUUUCAGAAAAUAAGGCCACACCCUUCUAGAGUAAUCGUCAAUAAUUGUGAGCAUGUAACGAGCACCACCAAGCGAAGGCUUACGAGAAGGCCCCCAUAAAUCAGCAUGAAUAUAAUCAAGAGUACCUUUAGUGGUGUGAACAGAAGUGUUGAAACGUACCCUUUUAUGCUUCCCGAAAAUACAGUGCUCACAAAACUUCAUUUUACUCGAAGUGCAGCCAUCCAGUAGGUUUCUCCUUAUCAAUUCUGCCAUACCAUGGUGACUCAUAUGUCCCAGACGCAUAUGCCAAAGGUUAGUUUUACUAGGUUCCUCAUUAGUAACAGCAGCAACAGCGGAAUCAGAACCAGUUAAAGUACACCCUCUAAGAACAUAUAACUUUGCAGAAUUGAGAUCACCCUUUAAGCAGACAAGAUUACCUCUUGAUACCUUCAGAACACCAUCCGAACCAGAAUAUUUGUAACCUUUUGCAUCAAGCGUGCUCAAUGAAAUAAGAUUUCUGGACAUCCCUGGUAUGUACCUGACGUUUUUCAGAGUGCGUGUCAUGCCAUCAUGAGUCUUGAUCUGAACUGAUCCAAUCCCCACAAUAUCACACGGGCUAUUAUCUCCCAUCCGCACAACAUCCCCUUUCGGCAUAGCCUUGUAAGAGCUAAACCAAUUUCUGUUAAAACAAAUAUGGAAUGAACAUGCGGAAUCAAGAAUCCACUCAUCAUGACCAGCAACACAACCGGCAAAUACCACCAGGCUAUCUCCAGAUUCUUCAUCAGACACGGCAGCAGCAAUAGAGACCUUACCAGCCGACUUGUUUUUCUUCUUCUCCUUAUUCUGUACUUUUCUGCAAUCCUCAACAUUGUGAUUUGUUAGCUUGCAAUAAACACAGAAUUUUUUGUUACCAUGCGGCUUGGACUUUGAACGGCCUCGUCUUUCAUAGUUUUUUCUUCCAUCAUCAUUGGAGGAUCUGUUAUCAGUUCUGCCUCUCACAAGCAAAGCAUCGCCUCUGGAGGACGACGUCCUGUCAUUCUGCACCAUACCUUUCAUCUUCUCCCUUGAUUGGAGAGCCUCAUAAACUUCCUUUAAGGUUAGUUCAUCACGGCUCAAGAGUAUGGUGUCACGAAAAUUUGUAUACGAAGUUGGCAAAGAACAUAACAGUAAAAGACCUAAGUCCUCAUCAUCAUACUUCACCUCCAUUGAUACUAGAUCGGCGACGAUCUUCUUAAAUUCAGCGAUGUGGUUUAUCACUGAAUCUUCUUCCUUCAUCUUCAGGGUGAACAACUUCAUCUUCAUCUGCAUCUUACUGGUUAGAUCUUUGGACAUACAGAUCGAUUCCAGUUUCAGCCAUAGUUCUGCAGCAGUUUUUUCUUUCAGACACUCCUGCAAAAUAUCAUUAUGAAGAUGCAACUGUAUUAAGGCGAGAGCCUUCUGAUCCUUGCGGAUCUCUUCUGGAGUCCACUCGGCCUUCGUCUUCUUCCCGAAGCUAUCCAGCGCCUCAUCAUAAUCGUGAGUUUGCGCCAGAAUUCCCCUCAUCUUGACUUGCCAUAGCGAGAACCGCAUGUCGUAGUUCAGUAGCGGUAGAUCAAACUUCAUCGACGUCGACAUGAAAUCCAAACAGCAACCAAAGCUCUGGUACCACUUGUUAGGAACGAACGGCGUAUGGAAUAUGAAGUAAAGAAUCAAACCGCAAGAAGACACACGAUUUACGUGGAAAACCCCUCCAAUGUGAAAGGGAAAAACCACGGGCACCAGCCGGCAAUAAUCUCACUAUAUCAAGAGUUUGGGGCUACACGCCUAUGGCGGCUUACAAGAGAAUUUCUCUCUUCUGUUGUUCUUCUGUCUAUCCCACGAAACCCUAGCAAGGGUGUCGGUAUAUAUAUAGUACCGAAAACCCCAGACAGGGGGUAUUGAGCGGUACGGACUCUUGAUCCCGUACGAGGAUGGAACUCCUCCUCGUCCGACCUUGAGUCCUUCGUCCUGGAGUCGGAUGCGCCUGGGACUCCGUCUCGCCCGACCUCAAGCCUGGAGUCGGAUGCGCCUGACCCCUUGAGGGUCGAUCUCCGAUUCGCCCGACCCCGAGUCUGGGGUCGGGAGAUGCUCCGACUCGCCCGACCCCAAAGUCCAGGGGUCGGAAGACGCUCCGCCUCGCCCGGCCCCGAGUCCUGGGGUCGGGAGAUUCUCCGCCUCGCCCGACCCUGAGUGUUAAGGGUCGGGAAGGUCGGCCUUUAUCCUGGAGUGAAUUUGGAACAACUCCAACAACAACUCUUGUCGUGGCACUCCUGGAGGCAUACCAGCUGUACCUGUACAUGGCCUCAGGUUGGUUCAAGGUGGCUCUGAUACAGAGCUACGUCAGCGCACCAUUUUUGCACACAAGCUGUUCUGAGAUGAUCAUACGUUUUCUCUUGAUGUUGAAGGCGUUUCGCCCAUGGAAGGGCAGACUUGGGCAGUACUGUUUCCUCGAGAAUCUUGGCCACAAAAGUAAGGUUAUGAAUUGUCUCCAUUAUGCUACACUACGCCUGGUGGACAAGGCCAUGAAGGGGCGCAAGAAAUCAGUGAAGCUGUCUGGAAAUGUAAAGAAAGCCAUCAUUGAUUCCCUACUAGGAAGCAACGGACACCUGACGAAUGGGGUAACAUCGCUCCAAAGAAAUGGCGUCCAUGAUGACCUCGCAUGGGCAUGUGAUGCUUCUGCUACCGAUGGAGCGGUGACUCGCACCAUUCUGGUCUGGCACAUUGCUACAACAUUGUGUGAGCACCAGCUGGAUCAACAAGGCAAAGAAGCAGAGGCGGUUAGAACAGCCUCCACUUUAUCGAAGUACUGCAUGCAUCUGCUGGCUUUCGCACCUAACUUCUUGCCCGAUCACAGCACUAUAUCGGAAUCCAUACUUGAUGAGUUAAUUGUACAGGGCAAGCUACUCGACGGGUCCAAUGAUUUUGAUAGCAGGUGUAAGCAACUAUUGAAGAUUAACACCCAUGAUGGUGAUGGUGGUGAAGCACCCCUUCUUGCACAGGGCGCUCAGCUUGCAAGGCAGAUUGAAGGCAUACAAGACUCGAAAUUGCGGUGGAAGGUCCUCUCUGAUUUCUGGGCGGAGAUGAUGCUGUAUGUCUCGCCGUCUGACGAUGCCCGGGCACACCUGGAAGUUCUUCCAAGAGGAGGGGAGUUCAUCACGCACCUUUGGGCGCUGCUCACGCAUGCCGGUGUGCUGAAGCGAGGCCCUACAGAGCCAAAGGAUGUUGUGUGACCUCUCCAACAAGUGCACACUGUCAUGUAGUGCACACUCUAUCUAGUGCUUGUAACAUUCUAUUUAUAUUGCCUACUGUCAUGUUGGGACACACCAACUUGUGCCACACCAUGUGUGAGUUAGUCUGUCGAGUCUGUAUCUCUUUUCAUGUCGUGUCUGUUGUCGGAUUUUGGUCAGGGUCGGAGUCUGUAAUUUCUGCAAGAUUCGUAAGAAGAGUGCACGUUCAGGUUGUUGGACGUGUGCGUCUUAGGUGGCCGUUACUACAGUCAUGAUCCGGUGACCACUUGGCUCAGGAUCGCUAGUUAUGUUGCAUAAAUAAAGGGGAAGAAAAUUGAAAACGCUGCAGCUUCAUCGCAGCACAAAUCCACUCUCUCUCAGUUGCAUCUGUUUGUGUGUCAAUCGAGCAGCAGGUCCUGUUGCAGAAGAAAACGAGAUAAAGGUACGGACUUUCCUUAUGUGGCGCCUAAGUACAGCUCUAAGGACACAUCCGCAAUUUAUAUGUCACAUUUUUUUGCGAAACCUGAUAUGUCAUUGUUAAAAGUGUUUAUUUAUUUCUACCUUGAUCAGGAUGGGCUCUGUUUCAAGGCAUCAUUAUACACCACGCAUGUAUACACCACCCUGCUUCUGCCGUGCCCUUGGUUUAUAUAUACACCACGCAUGUAUAUAUUUUUUUUUCUAGAAUACGCAGGGGAGCUACGUAUCAUUCAAUUAAGAAGAAGAAAAUAUUAAUACAAAGAUGUUAUUAUAAUUGCAAAUGCAACUUUAACCGGAAAGGAGAUGGUAAAAGUGAAGAUGGAUGUUAUGAGUAUGUAUUUCCAGCAUAUGCUGCCGUAGGUGAGGCUCAUUAAAUACAGCACGCUGUACCUCUUCUGAAUCACACGUUUGCGUCCACUUUCGUAAGGGUUUAGUAAAAAAACAUUAAAGUACAUUUCACCUUUAUUUUUCGGAAUAUAUAAUCAGUUACUCUUAAAUCCAUCAGCACAAUAUAUCAAAACCUCAAUUAAAUAUACAUAUAUUUAUAGUAUAGUGAUAGGAUCCCUGCUGGCUGAUUAACCAUUUCCGUUUGUUGAAAAUGUCGGUCAUACAACUUGUUACAAUUUUUAUAAUAACAAACUUCUUCCUUUUUUAAGAUUAAAAAAACUUUUACUUAUUGAGUUGCCGUAACUUAUAUGUUACUGAAUCAACAUGUAUCCUUAUUUGUUUGCAGCAAUAACUGUUGCCGUCAUCCUAGCAAGUUUGUCAAUUAUUUUGCUUACGAGACGAGAGCAGAAGAAACUUUUGAACAAAAACGGUGGCGACAUUCUAAAGGAUGUGGGUAUCAAAAUCUUCACCAAAGGGGAUGUGAAUACUAUCACAAAGAGCUACAACAAUCGCAUUGGAAGAGGCUACUUUGGCGAUGUCUAUAAGGGGACCAUCCCCCCAAGCACUACAGGCCGCGGUUAAAUGCACUGUGGUGAAAAAGGUGGCACAAACAUACAAGAAACAAACAAGUACAACUAAAAAUAAUACACCAAAAUAAAAGAAAAGCUUUAAAAGAGCGUGCUUAAGGAUAGAACUCGAUCUAGGAUUUAUGAACAUGGGAAACGCUGAGAUCGGAGCUAUUGAGAUGUUUGAUUCAUAAAAGAAAUAAAAAGACUAUAUGCUUGAUUCAUUUUAAUUAAAUAAAGUAUGUACAUAGGUUAUUUCAGAGAAGCUGGCGGCAGCCGACUCAGACCCUUCGGCGGCGGCGGCGCUCCGACAAAAGGACGACGUCAGGGACCAGAGAAACGGACACGGUUCGAUCUCGCGAAGCUCCUCCCGGUUCCCUCUUACUCCGGUGACACUCCUCGGCGACGAAUCGGCGAGGACCGGCGGCGGCGCACGGUUUGCUUGAUGGCUAGGGUUUGGGGAGGAAAAACGGAACGGCGGCGGUGCCCUUAAAUAGGGAGGAGGGGUGCGUGGGUCCACGCUUGGAGAUAGAGCCUAGUGCAGUUUGAAACGAGGCGGAGUCGAGCUGGAUUCCUGGCGGAGUUCGUUGCGGCCGGUGGAGUCGGGGUCGAGCCGGAGGUGGGAGACGGUGGGUGGGGCCCACCGGUCAACCUCAGCGGGCAGUGAGACGGGCCGUUGCAGCCGUUGGCCGGGCUGGCGAAAUGGGCCGUCUCAACUGGUUGGCCGGCGAAAUGGGCCAUCUCAACAUUGCAAUUUGAGUGUACCUGGUCGGUAGCGCCUGAAGGAACUUUCGCACAAUUUCUUCUUCUGUGUAGCUGUUGUCGAGAAUAGCAAGCUGGUGGACGAUCUUGUUGAUGCGAAUGCCGAAAUCAUCCACAGACUCGCCGUCACGGAACUUGAUGGAGUCGAACUCCAGCCGGAGUGUGUUCGCCUUCACCUUGCGCACACGCUCAACACCGACGUACAUGGUCUUGAUCACAUCCCACACGAUCUUGGCCAUCGCCUUGCUUGCGAUGCCACCCAUCAUCUCUGCAGGAACAGCUUUCACGAUGACCUCGAGCGCCAUGCGAUCCUCGACGUAGUCCUCCGUGCCGAGGCUCAUCGCGAUCCAGAGACCACGCGCCUGCAGCAUCACCCGCAUGAGCGCCGCCCAGUCGUAGUAGUUCCUCUUGGACAGCACCGGAAAGGAUCUGCCACUGCUGAUCUCCUUCGUGACCCUGUGGUUCAUGAGCCCGCGUUCACGGUCACUGCUCCUGGACGCUCCCCCGCCGUUGGAGCCGCAGUUCCUGACGCACCAGCAUUGCUCCCGUGCCUGGGCGUCCUCCGCAGCGGCGAGAUUGAUCGUGGACGCACAAUGAAGGCCCACUCUAUCGCCCGGUUGCGCUCCCAAGUCUUGUAGCUGGCUCUGAUACCAAUUGUUACCGACACCGCUGAAACAACUCGUUGUUUGCAGUGACGAACUCCCAGAACUCACGCAAGAACUCGAAUGGAAAACGCCCGAGACUUUGUGCUGCUAACGUCACAGCUUUUUUGAGACUCUAUAUUGCACAUAAAUAGGAAACAGACUCCCUGAAUCCACACGCACGCCAUGCUCCCGGCCUUAUCGUGCCAUCCCACAACUGAGUUACAUGCCGUGCGUCACGGACUAAGGCCUUGUUUACUUCCUAAUUUGGGAUAGGCAAAAUUGGCAUUUUGCCAUAAAUGCGCAACUGUAGCGUUUCGUUUGUAUUUGUGAAUUAUUGUCUAAAUAUUGACUAAUUAGGCUCAAAAGAUUCGUUUCGCAAAGUACAACAAAACUGUGCAAUUAGUUUUUGAUUUCGUCUACGUUUAGUACUCCAUGCAUGUACCGCAAGUUUGAUGUGAUGGGGAAUCUUCUUUUUGCAUAGUGUCAAAGUUGGGAGUUUGGAGGAAAGUAAACAAGGGCUAACAGACCAAUAGAAAAACUAACUUAAGCCACUGCAUGAACUAGAGCAUGCAUCAGGCUCCUAGAAACGUGCUCACACUACAUGAGCCCAGUUUAUUGAAAGCUAAAAGACAGAAACUAAGAGCGAGCUGGAAUUACUAACAUAUUAAUCAGCGUAUUCCCAAAGAGAAGAGAGAGAGAGAGAGUUGUCGUAUGCCCAACAUACAAAAAAAUUGCAGAGAAGAGGACCGAAGGAAAGUUUAGCAGAAGACAAAAUCUACUGCAGAAUUUGAAGAACCGAACAGAGUUGAUUUGCACAAUCACAAGUCACUGACAGAAGCAGUUGGAGUUCCAAUGUUGUCUAUGCAGAAAGCCUUAAUGGGUCUCUGGAUGAAAUGUAGUGAACUACACUGCAGCUUCUUUAAGCUCCGCAGUAUCUGAAAUCUAACAAUGCAGCUGCUAAUGAAGAUCAUUUGAUUCAACAUGAUUUGAGCUUGGUUCCCAGAAAUGUCUCACAGCCACAUGACAGGCUGAAGUUGUAUGUUAAAACAUGGUUUGGUCAAAAGCAAUUUCAGAAGGAGAAUAGUCGAAGGCAAGUAUGUUAAAACUGAAGCUGCACUUCUACAGGCAUAAGAAGUGCACUUCUACAGGCAUCACACUUUUCAAGUCCACAUGGUUGUGACCUGCCUUUUAACCUCGUAUCCCUUUCCUUGAUCAUCCCUGCAUUUUAUAUAAUUUCAACGCUAGGAUUUGCUAACUACCAUCCAUAAGUGUACUCAACCUUACUUUCUUUAUACAAGUUGGAUGUUCCGGUUCUAAAUUCAUUCUGCAUGUGGAGUGGGAGACUACGCCACACCCCUCUAUGCAAAGGUGAAAAACUAUUUUUCCAUAAUUUAUGCGUCUUUUAUUGUUUUGAUGCUAAUCUAUGACGAAGAUUGUAUCAACUACUGAUCCAGAGGGAGGUCCCCACAAUCAAACGGUACUAAAUGAUCACUUUUAGUACCAAUUAUUUAGCUUCCUUUGGUACCGGUUGUUUCAAAUGAGUGAAGGGCACCUUAGCAUGGUAUUUUCAUGCCUACUUGGAACUUUUGGCAAGUUGCUAGACUUUUCUUGGUCUUGGAUUCUACAGCCACUACUAGCGCACCCGAUCAGUGGGCCUCGCAAUUCUUUGCCGAGUUUAUCAAGAUUCCAACAUCAGAGUUUGGAGGGGCUCAUAAAACAUUUCUUCAAACAUUAUUAACCCAGACAUGAUGGCAGACAUAUAGUUAAUUACUGCAUGUGUUCUAGUCAGUAGGAUGGGUUAUCAGGUUUAUUAAUUACGUACUGAGGCGUAGCAUAUAUUGCAGCAAGCCACAAUUUUAGCUUGUCACCUUAAUUGUAUGUUUGCUUUCCCUGCAGUGUGCAUAUACCGUAUUUAGAUAGAAAGUUUUGCUAUUGCUCAUUUGAAGGGGAUCCUACAUUGAUGAGACAUAAAGUCGCUGAGCUUCGUCAGUUCAAAACGCACUAACUAGUUAGGUUGAGUGUUAGCAGUUUCCAUUGACAUGACACCGCUGGAAAACCCAUCUUUUAUCCCGGUUGGUAGGAUUGAGGCAUAUUUCUCCAAUGCCCAACCGAGAUAUAGUAAUCGAGACAAAGGAAGGGGGUCUUUAGUCCCGGGUCGUCGAACCGGGACUAAAGAAUUUUGCGCCAAAAAAAUAUUAGAAGUCUCAAGUCACGCGAUUUUUGAUGCGAAAUAUGCGUGUGCACGAUGCGUGGAAUUGAAACACAUGACCUCAAGCCUCGCGCAUAGCUUUCUUACCAUCCCACCUACACAGAACAUAUGACUAGAUAGGGGGUGCAAUACUUUUGUAUUAACUCAUGGGGAAGUCUUUUAUCCUGAUUGGUAACACAAACCGAGACUAAAGGGUCUAAGGGUUUUAAUCCUUUUUCAGCUACCCGUGGGGGACCCGGUUGAUGUUUCCAACCGGGGUAAAAGGCUCCUCAAGGCCUUUUUUUCCCCUAGCCUUCACAAUCGGGAUAAAAGGUCCCGAUUGGCGAGCCUCCCGCAUGUAGCCGAGCUUUAGUCCCGGUUGAUGAACCUUUAAUACCGGGUCAAAAGGGGGCGCAUGGAAGGUGUGUUUUCUAGAAGUGUGAUCACCUAGUCUGGCAGCUGGAACAUGCGUGGAGUCAGAGUUAAGGUAGAGAGACACAGUUGCUUUUCAAAAAGUAACUGCAUGCUCUGCAAAUAAUCUUUGAUGACUUCGCAAGGUCAAUAAAGGAAGUGAUGCACUUAUAUGAACGAACUCAUUUCUCACUAUUAUUUGACGACCUAGUAUCGGAGACCUCCCAAUUAGUCUUUGCUUGAUAAUUAAGCACGUGAUCAAGUUGGCUUUCAAAACUCUCGUUAGCAGUAGCUUAAUACGUCUUGUUCGAUGUGCAGAAAGUUUUGCCGAACACGGUGCUUUUAGAUGCAAAUUUAAUUAAAAGGUCCGGUGUAAUAACAGCCACCUGCAGCUUGUCUUCCCCAAAAGUGCUCAGGUGUACGAGUCACCAUCACAUGCGCGGUUUUGGUGAUGCCCUCCUAACGAACUGCGAAGAAAAGUACUUAAUUACCACACAAUACUAGCUAGUAUAUACUACAUAAGCAUAUAUGUGUUGGAUGAUGUAAGCAUGCAGUCUCUGGAUGAUGCAACCAAAUUAUUGUACUAUGUCCCGUAAUUAACGUUGUGUUUAGAUUUUUUCCGUGCCAGCAAAACAAAGUGUCUGCAAAAGGCAUGUCUUUUAUUCACCAUCACUCUAACUGACUUAUUUGCGUAGUUUGCUGUUGCUUAACUGCACACACAAAUCAGUUUAACAUUCACAUGAGUGAAGGGCAUCUUAGCAUGGUAAUCUCAUGCCUACUUGGCACUUUUGGCAACGUGCAAGACUUUUCUUGGUCUUGGAUUCCGGAGCCACUAGCUACUAGCGCAACCGAUCGAUCAGUGGACCUCGCAAUUCCAUGCUAAAUCACGUGAUAGAAUGGCACUAGUUAGCACUUAUAGCACAAAACUGAAUUUGGUGCCUUGACCUAGGAUUAGUUUACACCCAAUAAUCCCCAAGUUUUUUAUGUACCGCCCUAUACAAUGCAAUUUAUUAAAACUGCUGAUGAAUCAAGUACGUUCUGAGGCGUAGCGUAUAUUGCAACUAGCAACAAUCUUAGCUUGUCAUCUUAAUUGUAUGUUUGCUUUCCCUGCAGUGUGCAUAUACCGUAUUUAGAUACAAAAUUUGCUCUUGCGCGUUUGAAGGGAAUCCUACAUAUAUCCACGAGACAUAAAGUCGCAGAGCUUCGUAAGUCCAAAACGCCCUAACUAGUUAGGUUGAGUGUUAGCAGUUUGCAUUGACAUCAUCACCUAGCCUGGAGUCAGAGUUUCCAUUCAACGGUUGUUUCAUGGCGGCCAACACAUCGCUGGAGAAAUUGAAGGUCAUAUCGAUCUUCAUUUAUAUAUAUUGCAACUCUCUGAUCUGUUGCCACCAUUUAGUUAGCCGACUCAGGGUCUACAUUUAGCGCUGCAAGUUGAUCCAUCGGGUGCGCAAUGCUUCAAUUUUUGCGUAUAAUUGCAAGUUGAUGAACGAGCUGUACUUUUUUAAAAAAUAAAAUGGUUGCUUAGAAUGUAGCAUUUCUACAGAUUAUUGAUAAAUUUGCUCCGUGGGCGGAUCUAGGGCCCAGGCAGCCCGGGGCGAGCCCAUGUAGUCCCUUUAACAUAUGUGGUAUUUAACCUAAUAAAAGGAGGUUUAUGAGGCAAGAUUAAACUGUUUUGGCUGUGAUUUAGCAACUUAGCCCGGGAUGCAACCCCGUUUUGAAUCCGCUCCUGCGUGCAGGUGCUAAGAGCAAGGUAGAGAGAGAUGUACGAUUGAAGACUGUGGGGUUCUUGAAUCCUAGCUAGUCCGGCGGUGCAGCGGUUACACGCACGCACACUUUGCUGAUCAAUUAAAUAGGAAUAACGGUUCCAACUCAUGUUUAAUAUACCCAUUGUUUUAAACUAAUAAUUAUUUGAGCCCACGAUCCAGGAGACAUCAUCCACAUGCAACAAGAGAAGCAUGGUGGCGAAACCGUGGAACAUCGAAAGGAAGAUGCAAUGCGCAUCAGCCACCUACUGGGGGUAUGAUUCAACUCAUGGAAUCAUAUGGUGGACACAGCACCUCCCAGCAGGAGUACCGGCCAAACAGUCAGGCUGCCUCUAUUAUGUAGUCCUGCCAAUAAAGCAUAUGUAACCAGCAGGAGCCAUGCAUGUAGCCCAGCUAUUUUCAUUUCCACAGCCAACCUCGAGAAGCUACCAAAAUCCUCGACCAAAUCUUUGGCGUGGCACUACAUGCAUGCAUAUAGUAGCGCACCCACACGGUCACGGAUACACCUCACUGGUCCUGUCCAUCUCCUCUCCACUAGGUGAGAGCUAGAAACUACCGAUUAAUUCUCUAAAACAGAAACAAGCACGGUGUAUAUCAUGGUCAUGAUCAUCAUGUGGUGAAGGGUUUAGGGAUUCUUUCUCUGUUUCGAGUUUUUGAAAAUUAAUCUUACCGGUCUGUCUUUGCAGAGAGAGAUGCCGACGGUAGCCAUCACGCUGGACCUGUCAUGUGGCCGUUGCAGAAGCAAGAUCGAGAAGAUCCUCUGCAGGAUUCAAAGUGCGUAGAAUAACUGCAGUAGCUUAGCUGAUGAGUGACCAACUCACGCAUGCAACUGUGUACGCAGAGCGUGGCAAGUUCGUCUUCGACAAGGUGGUGUACGAGAAGGACAAGGUUCUCAUAACCGGGUCAUUCGACGCCAUCGAGCUCUGCUGCAAGCUAACUAGGGCGUUUUGGACUUACGAAGCUAGCAGUUUCCAUUGACAUCCAUUAACACAGUUGCUUCUCAAAAAGCAACUGCUCCAAAUAAUCUUUCUUGAUCGAAUUCACCAAGUCAACGUCUUGGUCUAAGCUAAACAAGGUACUAGCAUACUAAGGGGUUGUUUGGAGUCUCACAUCGGAUGUUCGGAUGCUAAUUAGAAAGACUAAACAUGAGCUAAUUAUAAAAGUAAUUGCAGAAUCCCUGUGCUAAUUUGCGAGAUGAAUCUAUUAAGCUUAAUUAAUUCAUCAUUAGCAAAUGGUUACUGCAGCACCACAUUGUCAAAUCAUGAACUAAUUAGGCUUAAUAGAUUCAUCUCGUGAAUUAGACUUCAUCUGUGCAAUUAAUUUUGUAAUUAGUCUAUAUUUAAUACUCCUAAUUAGUAUCAAAUAUCCGAUGUGACAUGUGCUAAACGGUGUGCCAAACACCCCUAAACAAAUUACUCAUACAUCGUUUUAAUACAAGGUACUAAACAUAUUAACAUAUUCAUUGUCAGAGUGCACGUACAUUGACUACAUUAAUUACAAGGUACUGCAUUAAUUACAAGUGCCGUGGAAUCCGUAUUUCUUGGACAUGCAAGUGCAAUGGUUCAGAGUUUAUUGUAAAAAUUUUGCAGCAACGGAAGCCGUAUUUCAAGUAGGGAAGUAUGUCAGGAACUUAUCGGCCUAUAUAUAGGCUCGGCCCACUAACAAGGGCUGGGUCAAAGCAUGGGCUGGAACGCGGGCCAUGUGCUUUGGUUUAGAGAAGCAAACAAUGGAGGCAGUACAAAGGGGCAACAACCAUACUUGUAUCCAGAACCUUCUAGCAGAUUCUAGAUACUGUCCUUCUUGUUCCUGUACGUGCAUCCCCGUUCGAGUGAAUCAACCAACUAUAGGGUCCAAACAUAAUACAGCAGCCAGGCCGUUCUUGGUCUAGGAGCAGGACACGACGGCGGGGUUUGGGCCAGGCCGCCAGAUCCGACUGGUGCCACCAGCAAAAUGCUCAUACAGUGAGUACGUGGGCCAGUACAUCUUCUUCUGAUCGACCACACAAUAAAUUAUCCAUGCAAGCGUUGGGUGAUGUAAGCAUGAAACCCCACGAUGACUUCACCAAGCAUGAAAUUCCACGAUGCGUUGGGUGACAUCUUGUCUUUUGUGCUUGUAUUAUAUUCCUAGUGUAUACCAAUUUUUCUCUCACCGUAUGGAGCGGGGUCCUGAGGUAGUAUGUACAAGUAAAUGAGUUCUUCAUUUCUUAGACUCCCAUCAACUUUAUUAAUUAUUAAUUAUGUGUUAAGCAUUCCAUGAGUGAAGAGUACGUAACUAACCAUGGUCAUUAUCAUGCCCACUUUAGGCACUGCUUUCAGAUCUAAAAUUUGGAUCCGGACAGUACGCGUCCUCAAAAAACACCACCUUGGAUGUACACUUAAAACUUUGUGGAAAGGAGUGUGCAAUCUACUUGCCAGACAGGCCCAUACCUCAGAAAAUUUUGGUCAAAUAAAAAACACAUUGAAGCUUAGAAAUCUGAUGCCCAACACUACGGGAAAGCUAUAAAUCGCGGAGUGCCUGGGGCACUCGGCGAAACCCCAAAAACACUCGGCAACGUCUUCGCCGAGUGUAACACUCAGCGAAGAGCACACGGCAAAAUUUCACUCGGCAAAGCUAAGUUUCCCGAGUGUCUUUGCUCGGGCACUCGGCAAAGAGUGUGCCGAGUGGAAAAAAACACACGGCAAACUAUUUUCCAGAAAAAAAUAAAAAAAAACAUACCCCUGGCCGCCGCCACCGCCGCCGCCGCCGCCACGCCCAGGCCAUCCACGGCCAUGGCCACCACGCCGCCCGCUGCCGCCCGCCGCUGCCGCCACGCUGCUGCCGCCCGCCGCUGUCGCCCGCUACGGCCACGCCGCUGCCGCCACGCCGCUGCCGCCCGCCGCUGUCGCCCGCUACGGCCACGCCGCUGCCGCCACGCCGCUGCCGCCCGCCGAUGCCACGCCGCUGCCGCCCGCCGAUGCCGCCACGCCCGCCACCGCCGCCACGCCCGCUGCCGCCUGCCGCUACCGCCCGCCACGCGCCAGAUCCGGAUCCGCGCCGCCGGAGGUGGGGGCCGCCGGAUCCGCGCCGGAGGGGGCGCGGAUCCGGCGGAGGGGAGGGAGCCGGGGAAGGGGAAGAAGGGGGCGGGGGCGGCCAGAUCCGAAGGGGGCGGCGGCGGGCGGGGUCAGGCGGCGGGAGGCGGGCGGUGGGCGGCGGGGCGGGGGAAGGGGAAUAAGGGGGCGGCGGCGGGCGGCGGAGGCGUGCGGUGGCAGCCGGAGAUGGGGAGGGAGGGGAGGGGGCGCGCUAGGCGAGGGAGGGGAGCCGGCGGCGGCGGAGGCAUGCGGCGGCAGCCGGAGAUGGGGAGGGAGGGGAGGGGGCGCGCUAGGCGAGGGAGGGGAGCCGGCGGCGGCGGAGGCGGGCGGCGGCGGCGGCGGCGGAGAGGAAGAGAGGAGAGUGGGGGCCGGGAGGGGGCCGAGGCGUGCGGGCCGGGAAGUAGAUAGAGUGGGGAGGGGGCCGGGGGGGGGGGCCUAUUUGUGUUGUGGUGGGGGCUGUUUGCCGAGUGUCCUAUGUUGGACACUCGGCAAAGAAACUCUUUGCCGAGUGUCCAACAUAGGACACUCGGCAAAAAAAUUUUGAAAAAAAUUUAAAAAAUAUCCAACAAUUUCAAAAAAAUACCAAAUUUUUACACGAACUAAUAUAGGUUCUCUACUGACUAUACAAAAAGUUUUGUAGUCAAACCGAACUCGACCGUCACUUCGACUCUAAAUUUUUUCAAAUCCUUCUCAAAGUUACUAUUCUUUUUCUCAGAUGCUUCGGUUUGUAAUCAUCGUACAUGAUAAAAUGAGCAAAAUCUUCUCAAUUUUUUUCCACAACCUCCACGUAUUAUAUCAUCACAUCAUGGCAAAUCUCAUAAUUUUCAGACUUUGAUUGUUUUUUUUACAAUUUAAAAAUACUACUGCCACACGUUCAUGGUCGUGUUUUCUGAACAAGAUGUUCAAAAUUUCUUUUCAUUUCAUGGGUCAGGUCUCAAAUUGGUCCAAAUAACAUGAAUAUAAUUUUUCUACUCAUUUUAUUCCAUAAUUUGAAUCACUUGCAGUUCAAAUUUGACUUAUACCAAAAAUUCCCUUGAAAUGCAAUUAAUUAAAUAAAUAUAGCAAAUAAAUUCAAAAAUAUACCAAAUUUUAACAUGGAGUACCACAUGUUGUAUGUAGGGAGUAGAAAAAAUUUCAUGGUGAAAAGAGAAAAAAAAAUUAUUUUUUUGCCGAGUGUCAAAAAAAACACUAGGCAAACCCCCCUGUUUGCCGAGUGUUUUUUUUGACACUCGGCAAACAGGGGGCUUUGCCGAGUGUUUUUCAUUUGACACUCGGCAAAGUCCUUUUUUGCCGAGUGUUUUUUUUUUGCCGAGUGUUUUUGGCUUGGCACUCGGCAAAGAGCUUGUUUGCCGAGUGUCCGAAAAAAACACUCGGCAAAAAGAAAACAAUCGGCGAAUUUAAGGUUUCCCGUAGUGCAACUAUAUAUCUGCCAAAAGUAGCCAAGAAAGAGACAAAAUGCGUCCAAUUCCCAGCGUUGGACGCAAGUGACUUAUUUAAUGUAGUAUUAAAGAAUAUCUGCCUUGAUUGUUCCUUGUAUACAACGUUAAAAAGCACGUCUUUGCAGUUUGGAACAUAUAUAAGUGGGGUCAUGUCGUACUUUUAUCCAUCAGCAUCUUUAGCUUGGACACAAGUGGCAAAUUGAACAACUUGCGUGCUUUUUCACUAUACGACAGCCCACCGGGACUGACUACAUUGUAGUCAGCAUAGGUCGUUGUAAGGAAGAAUCAUCGGAUGCCAACUCCAUCUAUAAGUCGUUAUCAGUGGCAAAUUGAACAACUUGCAUGCUUUUUGUUGAUGACUAGCGGGUCUUGCUUUUUGUCAGCGAGAACGAACGUAUGUACAGUUUCUCUUUUCAAUUUUUGAUGACUAAUUUCAUUGCUUAUUAUGCCUCAAAAGGGAGGUUAAGUAAACUCUAGAUAAUAAUUCUUCUAAAAACUAAUUAGGGCUGAACCAACUUAAAAAAGUUCAUUAACAUGUGUCACUUGUAGAAAACAUGGAAUUAGUCCUAGUUGGUAGGCCUCAAAUAUCUCGAAAAUUCAUCCGGGAUAAAAAUUUUGAGAUGAAAUGGGGUUCUUUAAUCCUGGGUCAUUCAACUGGAAUUAAAAACACCCGUGCCCAUUAGUAAAAUCAAUUGGGAUUAAGGUCGAUACGUGGAUGCGCCAUGCACGUACCCCUUUAGUACAUAAUACUUUAAAAAAAUAUUUUUCAUGUGAAUAUUGUAUGCAAGUCGUAUAUAUAUUUUAUGGUAGUAUGUAUGUAUGUAUCUAUGUAUGUAUGUAUGUAUGUAUGUAUGUAUGUAUGUAGGGAGAGUAUACUUCGUGGCUAGCUGUAGAAUAGCUUAUAUAUGUCUGUAUGUAUCUAUAUAUAUGGAGAGUAUAAUCCGUGAUUAUUCUAUAGUAACGCGCAAGGAAUGUGGUCUGGAAAGCAACCAUGUACAUAGUACAUCUUCUUUUGAACACAGUAAAUUAUCCAUGCCUUGAGUGAUGUAAGCAUGAAAUUCCACAAUGACUUCACCAAGCAUGAAAUUCCACGAUGCGUUGGGUGACAUCUUGUCUUUUGUGCUUGUAUUAUAUUCCUAGUGUAUACCAAUUUUUCUCUCAACCGUAUGGAGCGGGGUCCUGAGGUAGUACGUACAAGUAAAUGAGUUCUUCAUUUCUUAGACUCCCAUCAACUUUAUUAAUUAUUAAUUAUGUGUUAAGCAUUCCAUGAGUGAAGAGUACGUAACUAACCAUGGUCAUUAUCAUGCCCACUUUAGGCCCUGCUUUCAGAUCUAAAAUUUGGAUCCGGACAGUACGCGUCCUCGAAAAACACCACCUUGGAUGUACACUUAAAACUUCGUGGAAAGGAGUGUGCAAUCUACUUGCCAGACAGGCCCAUACCUCAGAAAAUUUUGGUCAAAUCAAAAAAACAUUGAAGCUUAGAAAUCUGAUGCCCAACUAUAUAUCUGCCAAAAGUAGCCAAGAAAGAGACAAAAUGCGUCCAAUUCCCAGCGUUGGACGCAAGUGACUUAUUUAAUGUAGUAUUAAAGAAUAUCUGCCUUGAUUGUUCCUUGUAUACAACGUUAAAAAGCACGUCUUUGCAGUUUGGAACAUAUAUAAGUGGGGUCAUGUCGUACGUUUAUCCAUCAGCGUCUUUAGCUUGGACACAAGUGGCAAAUUGAACAACUUGCGUGCUUUUUCACUAUACGACAGCCCACCGGGACUGACUACAUUGUAGUCAGCAUAGGUCGUUGUAAGGAAGAAUCAUCGGAUGCUGACUCCAUCUAUAAGUCGUUAUAAGUGGCAAAUUGAACAACUUGCAUGUUUUUGUUGAUGAUUAGCGGGUCUUGCUUUUUGUCAGCGAGAACGAACGUAUGUACAGUUUCUCAUUUCAAUUUUUGAUGACUAAUUUCAUUGCUUAUUAUGCCUCAAAAGGGAGGUUAAGUAAACUCUAGAUAAUAAUUAUUCUUAAAACUAAUUAAGGCUGAACCAACCUAAAAAAGUUCAUUAACAUGUGUCACUUGUAGAAAACAUGGAAUUAGUCCUAGUUGGUAAGCCUCAAAUAUCUCGAAAAUUCAUCCAGGAUAAAAAUUUUGAGACGAAAUGGGGUUCUUUAAUCCUGGAUCAUUCAAUUAGAAUUAAAAACACCCUUUAGUCCCGAUUGGUAAAAUCUACCUGGAUUAAGGUGGAUACGUGGAUGCGCCAUGCACGUACUCCUUUAGUACUUAAUACUUUAAAAAAAUAUUUUCCAUAUUAAUAUUGUAUGCAAGUCGUAUAUAUAUUUUAUGGUAGUAUUAUAUAUAUAUGUACACAUAUAUAUGCAUGCAUGCAUGUAUCUAUCUAUUUAUUAUAUCAUCACAUUGUCAAAUCAUAAACUAAUUAGACUUAAUAGAUUUGUCUCGCGAUUUAGUCUUCAUGUGUGCAUUUCAUUUUAUUAUUAGCUCAUGUUUAAUCAUUCUAAUUAAUAUCUAAAUAUUUGAUGUGAGAAGGAUUAAACUUUAAUGCGUCGAACAACAAGCGAGCGCCUGGAUCUAGGAGGAUUAAUUAUGUGUUAAGGAUUCUUGUACUUAAUUCUUGGCACAGCAGCGGUCAUUCAGCAGAGGCGUCGUCGUUCCAGCGCGCCGGGCGCCGACAGCGGCGUGGGCAGCAUGAAGUCGACCCUGGACGGCGUGGCACGCACGUCGGAGGACUCGUCGUAGCAUACCUUUUGAGCUCCCCGUCCUCAUUUUCCUUUCCUGUAGCCAACUUGUGCUCCAAAAGCAUUGAGUGUGAAUAUGAUUUAAUUUUGACUUGACUAUUUGAAGAAAACUUGUGCUUCAAAGGCAUUGAAUUGAAUAUGAUUUAAUUUUGACUGGACUAAUCGAACAAAACACGCACAGAAGAUGCAUCCUUUGUGCUGCCGAUUUGACAUGCAAGAUUUGACUAGACUACUAUUGGAAGUUUGGAACACACUUUGGCAAGUACGGGACCCGGUAACUACCUGACAGGAGCCGGUCGCUAUUGUCUAGAAAGGGAGCCGGUCGCUAUCCAACAGUAAGCUGAUGAGACAGCAUCCUCCGAUCUGAUGGGAGCCGGUAGCUAUCUGAAAGGGACUGACAGAUUCCUCGUAGUGGGACGACCGGCGUAAGGCUGUCCACACCUGCACCCGCUAAAUCAUCCUCUCUAGUAUAGCCGUAGCCGAAAAAACUCGCACCAGUACUAAAUCAUCCUCUAGUAUAGCCGUAGCCGAAAAAACUCGCACCAGUACUAGGUGACGUCCGCUACCUAAGCGGACCGCCGCUGGUCCACUACUCCCAGCCGAUGCCUAGGACACCCUCUAACCGCCUCCCGAGGUCGCCAGCCCCAACAACCCCUCCCCCCUCGUGCCUCCGCUUGAAACUCCGCUGCCGGACCGCCGCCACGCUGGAACCGUCGCCACCGCCGUCGGGGAGGAGGAGUGGGCCGGCAAGCAGGAGGCCCAAGAGAAGCCGGCGGGGAGGAGUGUGAGGGGGCACGUAGGGAGGAGGAAGAGGCGAGGCAUCGGAAGGGGGAGGGGACCGGUUGGGGAGAGAGAUGGGGAAGAGAGAGAGGGAGGGAGGGGAAUAAAAUAUGUUGUUAUUGGUAUAGAGGAUGAGGUAUAGAGUAACAUAGAUGCGUGAGAAAUUCAUAUAGAGGAGAGAAUCUCGAUGACUAUGAUAGAAUAUUACUUUUAGAGUAUGGAAAUAGAGUAUGUCAAGUGCGGACAACCUUAGACUCUACCAAGUUGCGAAUACUCAUCAGCAGCACAAGUUAAAUCUUGGGUAUGGUCGACGUCUCGAUGACGAUGCCCGUACCACCCGUCGGUGAUAAGCAUCAAAGCAUAUGGGUUCACUGAUACAUACUUUCUUCGAAUUUCAUUCUUCGACCGAGGAAUAGAUACUAGGUCAUGGAUGAAGGGGGUGUUUGGUUCCCAUGGACUAAACUUUAGUUCACUGUUUUAUUUGGUGCACUUUUAGUCCUUAACACCCAAAGAGGUAAACUAAAGAUUUUAGUACUCUUGUCCACAAAAUUGGACAAAACUGGACUAAAAUAUUUUGGGGACGCCCCCGUCCCUCAUUUAUUGCUCUCCCUCCCAUGCGGCUCCCUCCCGCCGCUGCCCUCCCACCCUCCGCUGUUGCCACCCGCUGCCAUCCCACCCGGUCCCCGCCACCCUCCCACCUGCUCCCCAUCGCACGCGCUGGAUGCGGCGGCGGAUACCGCUGCAUGGAGGCAGUCCCCUGCUUGUCUGCUGCGGCGUGGAGGCGCAGAUCUUCUCCCGCCACCGCCACAUUAUGUAGACGAGCGACGCCCCAUCCUGCAGCCAUACCCGCUUCCCCUCAGCCUCAGACACAGUUGAUGGCCGCUGCCGCGGUUGCCCCACCGGGGUGCCCUCGUGCGACACCAGGAGCCUGUGGCGGACCUCCAUAGCCAUAUGGCAGCGGUGUUGGGGGCUCUUCGACGCUUAAACCCGCAGCGCGGAAGAGCACGAGCAGUGGCCACCCGUGGUUUGGGUUGUGUUUUAGGGAUUUUGAUUUGGGGCGAGGGAUCGAUCUACGCCGGGCACUCGUCUCCUGCCACCGCACGUGGAGGAGGAGGAGCGGGAGAAGUGGCUUGCGCCUCGAGCGCCAUGUGGGCGGAUGAGGGAAGGGAAGGGGAGGGGAGGCUGGAAGGGUAAAAUGAUCUUUGUUCAACAACAUUUAUAGACUUCAGUCCACAUUAGUCCAUGGAACUUAACAGGCUAGUUUUUGGAGUAAAGGAACCAAACAGGCCUAAUACUUGUGGUUCUGUUUUUUCUUUGAAAAAGAAUAUCUGUUGGCUUACCCAAGUCAACAGAAGCUGUACCUAGUAUAUAUUGCAAAUAAAUAUAGUGCAUAACAUUGAGUUUUCAAAGGAAAACAAUUGUUUAUAGACAAAGUAUUAUCUUCAUUCCCCUAUAUACAAAAAUUUCUAACAAAUAGCAAACUCAUGAUGAAAAGACUAAGGAAAGACAAUCUGUAUGUUACGAAGACUUUUUACAUGUAACUACGAUAUUCAGAUAACUAAGUAAAUCUCACUGUACUAGGUUUUUACUUUACAUACUCUUGGUUAUAUCUCGUUGCACACUUCAAUUACAUUGGCAUCAGAACCCAAACUCACGAGGAAAGAGAAGGUAUAAUCCAUUGUCAUAGUAAUUGGUCAAUAAAAGAAGUCUUCUUCACCUUUACUCAAAAAAUUACCACAUGAAUUGGAGAAAAAAAAAUACUCUCUCCAUUUGAAGUUACAAAGUUUGUUUCACCUUGCACAUAGACCUAGAAACUGUUAAAUAUGAUUGGAUUUCUAUUAAAAUGAUAUAUUUAAUGCAUGCACGUAAGUACAUGCAUGCAAAGUUAAAAGUGAAGUAAUCAUUAGAGGUAUAUACGAAUAAGACACCCUUCUUGACAUAAAGAAGCAAAUGAACAACCUGACUCGUUAUUAUCACCGAGCGAUUGCGUGCACCAAAGUCUUGCUUUGCUUGCUGGAAGGGCAUGAUCAGAUCACGAAGUACCUCUGUUUCUUUCUAGAUGAACUGCUAAUUGGCUGAAAUUGUUGUUGCAUAUUUCUGAGUCAAUGGACGACGAGAGGGUUGGUAUGCUUAGCUCUUCAGAAACUGUCGCUGGGCACGGGGGGGCCAUGGCCCGCCUUGACUAAUUAGUAGCUCCGCCGGUGCCAUUUUGCAUUGGACAGUGAAAGAAGCCUUGUAUGGAGAAAGUUUGUUUCACCCAAUAACCCACUUUGGCCACUUAAUUCGCCAAACAAAUGUAGACCUAUCUCUCCAUAAACGCCGUGAAUUGACGGGAACCACUGAUAUAUGCGAAAUCGGCAGGAAAGUAGCAUAUGUCGUGAGAUUAGGUUCGUCAUGCAUGGUUAAGAAACUCAAUUCGAAUCGUCUGCCUCUCACAGUUUGAGACUGCUUGACUGCACUUCUACACUGAGUAAGAAGGAGAACAAAGGAUGGUAUUUAAUAUUGAUGUUUGAUUAAAUUGCUUGUUACAAUAUGAUUGCUUUAGCAUAAGUGCUUACUUAGAAUGGAUAAUGUACUAAAAUUUGCUGCUAAAAUUUUGAAAGUAAGGAUCCACUUUAUAGACUUUUGGCAAAAGCAACCCCUCAGCCAGAAAGCUUUGCAUGUCUAGAAGUUGGUGGAGUAGUUACCACCUGACAGUUAAAUCUUGCUGAGUAUUAGUAUACUAAGCGAUGCUUGUGGCUUUACUUUUUCAGGUAUGGUCGUUAGUGAGCUCGCUACUUGUGUGACUCGGUCGUCUCAACUCCCUCCGGGUUGGACUGUCGAGUGGGACCCGUCCUCGGUCGGCGAGGAUCACGGUAACUGAUGACAUGGCAGGCUUCACCAUGGCAUCUCUUCGAUGUAUAAUUUAUCAUUUGAUUUUCCGCUGCUUAAUUUCUGAACACUUUACUUUACGUACUUUUGAAACUCUGGUAUUGUAUUAAAGAGAUUGGAAUCUAUGUAAUAUCUAUUGGAAUGUUGUGAUCUCUGGGGAAAACCCUCACCUUCGUGUGAGCCAUGCUUUAUUCGAUCCGAGUUAAGUGGUUAAUUGGGCUAGACCUGACGGAUGACUAAGUUGACUUGUUUAAAGUGCAUAAUCACGUGUUAGGUGACUUAAGAGCAUUUUAGCUAGGUUAAUUUGGGUGGUCCCGCCACAGCAGCCCUCCUCCUCCUCUCCGUCCGCCGGCCCCUCCUCUUCCUUCGCGCCACCAGCCACAUCCUGCGCCGCCCCUCCUCCUCCCCCGCAGCCGGCCCCCAUCGGCCCCAUACCACCGCCUCCGCCGCCCUGCCUCCGGCCUCCGCCGCGGUGCUGCACCCAAUAACCCAGUUUGGCCACUUAAUUCUCCAAACAAAUGUAUUCCCCCAAACAAUUGCAAUAAGUCGCAUCUACCAUAUAUAUGUGAUAUUUCUCGUUUUGUUUCUGCGCAUACAAGUGUUGUUUUAAGUUCCAAUUUUGUGGAGUGGUAGAGGAUCAUCAUAACAUAUGUGAAAAUGUACAUUAAAUUUUUUAUGAUUAUUUUCAUUUGCAAGAUUCCAAAGCUAGAAUUACAAUCCAGGUCGGUCAACGGAACAAACAAUUAACAUUAAAGGAAGAGACCAACUGGUGCUGUAGUACAGCGCACAGUAGCUAGAGUACAACCUAGAAUAGAAUCUUGCAAAUUCUGAAAGGGCCACACUUUAAUUUAUUUCAUUUCAACAAAAAAAUUCAAAGCCAAAGACUAAUUAUCUACAUUACCAGGAUGUAUAUAGAACUUUUUGAUAUCUAUUUGUCAAAAAAAAACAAAUAGCAGUAUAUGCACAAGCAGGAAGUAAAAAAAAUUAGCAUGAAAUCAAACAAAAAAAGAACAAAUCAAGUUUUACAUUCAAUCUGGUAUAUAUGCAGUAAAUUAAAUGCACACAAUUUGUGUGGUCUACCGUGAUUUUACCAGAAGGAUUUCAUUCUAUGCUACAGCUUGCACCCGGAUGAACAACCACCAAGCGAUGCUUUUCGUUAAGCUAUAUAUAUACAGCCUCAGGGCUCUCCAGGACUCCAAACUGUGUACUCUCUUUAUUAUCAGGCUUCCACUCUGAUUAUUACCAUGGCUACUGCCGACAUGGUUUUGGCACCAAGUCCCCCACCAAGUCCAGCUAUCAUGCCCUUUCAUGAAGCGUUAGGGGCGCUCUUGGUGGUAGCUUUGGUCUUGCUGGCCGUGGUGGCCAUAUUCCUCUUGCAUAUACUGAGUCCGUUACGCCGGUGGUUGAGCCAAGGGCUCCCCCACCAUAUCGUGAUGGGAAUCUACACGCUCUCCUACCCGCUGGUGGGCUACACCAUUGGGCGGAUGCAGAGUUCCAAUUGGUACCUCUAUGACUACACCGUGUGGGCUGUGUUCCUGCUUCUGCUCCUCAGCAGCACGGACAGCCUCACGGCUUGCCGUCUCGAUGACAUCGACAGCUGGAAGAGCAUCUACGUCAAACAACUCUUUAAGGGAUUCUUGCUGGUGUUUAUCAUUCUAAAGAUUGUCCUUGACAUACACGGGAAGAAGAUGAAAGCGGACAAACUGUGGUACCCACUCUCAGCCAUCCUAUUUGUUAUUGUCAUCAAGUCAUAUCUGAUGAUAGCUUCCAUGAGGAUGGUGAGCAAGUCCUACCUCGGCAAGAAUGUGAAGGUGAUAGCGGAAUAUAUGCACUAUAUAGACAACAAGCUGGUGGCCUUCGAUCCUGUGACCAUGGAAGGCUACCGGUACAUGGUCGCUGGUGAGAAACACUGUGUCAAC
Molecule: long non-coding RNA, 88640 nt
Filed under: Setaria viridis
Lineage: Eukaryota; Viridiplantae; Streptophyta; Magnoliopsida; Poales; Poaceae
Description: long non-coding RNA (SVIR_LNC010022)
Source: RNAcentral